UUAAGAGCGGGGUGGGGGUGGGGGGAGUAAAACACAGAGUUGCUGCCUGGAAUAAAAAGCAAACCAGAGAGAAAUAAUUGUCCUAAUUUAUAGCCGGGCAUAAAUCUCCAUGUGCUGCCAUUCAGAAGCAAUCGGAGGUGACUUGCCAGCAUGCACUUCUGGCUCAUUUGAGCUUGAAAGUGCCACCCAGCUGUUCCCAGGAUGUUGCUUUGCUGUGAAAUAGAUAUUUGUCAACUUAAAAACAACGAAACAGAAUUUGUGCGUUAGUAAAAUAUAGACUUCUCCCUCCCACCUCUCUUGCUGAAUCUUGCUCUAGCAGUUUUACGGAUGGCUAAUGCAGGCUUCCAGAGAGGUAUCACCCCACACUUUGCCUGCAUUGUGUACCUGGAUGUUGCUGGGCGCCUGGAAUGUUGGCUCUGGCAUGGUCCUCACCUGGAGCAAAUGGCACACUAUUGGAUCAAUGCAAGGUGGGCUUUGAUGUGGCCUGCCUCUCCUUUUCGGAAAACAUUGAAUAGGCAGAAGGGUCCUCAGUCACCAAAACCACCGGGCAGGGUUCAACUAAUGACUCUCUUCAGUAGAAACUGUGUUCAAGGACUUCUGCUUGCACAAUGGGCCUUUCUCCCCUCUCCUUCCUUUAUGCCCCCUGAAAUUGGCUCUGUGGGGGUAGGAGAACCCCCAGAACAGCAUGCAGGGAGCAGGGAGGAGAAGGGGUGUGUGUUGGUUGCCCUGAUGGAACGGUUGCCUUAGCAUGACUGAAUCCCUCCCUUUAUCUCUGAAAACCCCAUUGAAACAAACAUGAAUUUUGCCAGGCAUUACAGUAUUUGAAAUUCCAACACACCGGUAGUCAUUUAUUUCAAGACUUGCACAACAGUGAGACAACUUGGGCUGAAUGAUUCAGAAUAAAAUUGCUGGCGACUGCAACAGAUGGUGAUCUCUGGUAGGGUUGGGUGCACAUGCCCAAAUUAAAAAGAAAAAAAAGAGGAUGUUGGUCAGGCAUUGACCCAGGCCCUUGGCAGACAGGAGUGUCUGAACUGCCACUGUGGGUUCAUUUCUUAACCAGAGCUAAGAGUGCUCAUCUGUCAGUUUGACUGACUGACAGAUGGUUUGAUCACUGAGUGAAAAACAGAACAAGAGGCACUUGGGCAGGGGGAGGGGGUACCAAAUGGUGGAGUGUCAUUUCCCACCUUGCAGCCUGAUUGGGUGCAAAUGUAGGGCUUGCUGGGUGUGCUUCUGUAGAAGUAGGUGGGGUGGGAUUCGGGAAGGGUAGGGGCAGUGAGUAAAGCAGAACAUUGUUCAGGUCUCCUUGGUAGACCGUAAUGUACAAGCAGGAAGCUGGAAUCUCCUGCUGCAACCCCGACUCCCCUGGACAGCUUGUUGCUUGGCCUGGGAAGUUCAUCGGUCCCAACUCCAUAGCUUGUUCUGGGAUGUCACCUGAUGGGACAGGCGGGGCUGCAGCUCCUGAAGGAUUCAGAAGCGAAAGAGCGAAUAUCACACUUGUAAAUCUCUCUCCUUUUCCCCCUCCCCACUGCAAGGUGUGUGUCAGGAAAGUCCCCGCACCUUGCAGAGAAGAAGGCAGCUAAGAAAACCUGCUGGAGGCAGUGAUUCUUCUGAAUACCAGUUGCUGGAAACCUCAAGAGGGGAGAGUGCUCUUGUGCUCAGGUCCUGCAGACAGGAUCUGUUUGGCUGCUCUGAGAAUAGGAUGCUGGACUAGAUGGGCCAUGGGCCUGAUCCUCUCAUUCCAGUUAAACAGAUAUGCUUCUAGGGUAUAUGACUUACGUUGACAAUGCCUAUUCUCGGAAUUAUACGUUGUAUUGACCACACCCACAGCUUCAAAGAAACAAAUAUCCCCCAGUAGAGAGAUCGUUGCUUGUAGAAUUAUUUGAUGAGAGGGCAAACCACCUGCUGCCCCAUUGCAGCACCCCAGAUGGUGUGAUCUGGUAUUAGGGGGCUGAGGCUUGAUGCUUUUAGAACAGAGUUUGAAACUUUGUCCUUAUUUGCUGUGUUCAUAGUGUCUUUCGUUCCUUUAGUGGUGCAGUGUUCUAGGCGUCGUGUUUUGCAUAUGCUUAUGGAUGUGAGGUGGGAUGCACACUCCGGGGGGGCAUUCUUUCUCCUUUGGCGCAUUUCUGCAUGCGUAACUUCCAUUAAUGCUAAUGAGUGCUACUGAGCUAUCGAGAAGGAAAUAUAUCCCUUUGGGUUUUUGUUUUUACCUUUAUUGGCGAGAGACUAUUCGAGCAUAAAUACUUCUUUCAGGAGAAGUCUGGCAAAGAUGGCAGAAGGUUAAUACAUGCGAUUUUACACUACAUAAAACUCUAUAAAAACUAGAAACAUAAAACAAGGACAUAAUUUAAAACAAUAUAAUUUUAACUACGCGAACACUUAUCCAUCAUACAUGAAUGAUUCAAAAUCCUUCACAUACCUCUGAUCAGUUAAUUUCAGUUCUCUUGAAGUCUGCUCAGUGGCCAAGGAACUGUGUAAAUGACUUAUCAAUCUGGAAUACAAAUGCUUGGUCUUCUGCAAAGAAGGGGAGGAAACUUGGUGCUGUGUUGGAAUGUGGGAAGGCCUGUUCGGGACAUUCUUAAAACAAAUAGGGAUGGACACAUAUGUGAUGCGCCUCCCACUUCCUGGCACUUUUAUGAAGCUCUUAAAUUUGUGUUAGAAAUCUGGGGGAGUGCAGGCAGUUUCCAAGGUGCUUUUCUUUCAUGAACACACACUUCCUGACCUCGUUUCUUUACACUGGGCAUCCCAGAAGUAGCCAGAAGCAUUUAUUUUAAUGGCCAAAAAAGCCCCUAACAGUUCAUAGCGUUUGAACAAUUCACAGAGUUGGUGUUGACAUUAGGGGGCAUCUGGUUCUAAUGCAAUUGGGGUGCCAUACCUUUGGCAGUGUAUUGUUGUGUGCUGAAGUUAUGCUUGCAUAUUUUAAAAUGUGAGCUUCUAUCCUCUAGCUGCAGGGUUAGUUGAAAACAUUGUGGUGAUUUUGCAUUGUUUGCUGUCUGGUAACACUGUUGGGGGUGAAAAUAACUAGGGAAAUCAUUCACCAGUUAGAGGGAAAGGGUUAUCCCACUAUAUCGUUGUCAGGUAGAAGGGGAUUUUGUGGACUGGUCUUGCCAAAGAAAGCACAUUUGUGUCAGUAACUCUUUUUCUAUAGCCUUGGGUUAAUUUUAAUAGGCUUUCUUAGAGGAGUGAUAUAUAAUAUUUCUGAGAAAUAUUGGGUUGUGUCCAGCUGAGUUUUUCUCUGACUAGACCCAUUGAAAUCAAUGAACCUAAAUUAGUAAUGUCUCUCAAUUUAGAUGACUCUGAGCAUGACUGACAGUGGCAACAACGCCAUGAAGGUAAGUAAAGAGGAACUUCAGAAGCCAAGUUCUGAUGUGAAGAAUAUUUUUUCCACUGACGUCAGAGAAGGUUGCAGCCGGUCAGCAUAGCCAGGGGAGUGUAGAUGAAGCAGAUCCAGUUUUAAUCAAGAUUGCAAACAAUCGUAAGGGAAGUUCAUGGCUCAUGAUGGUUGUGGUAUGCUGUCCCCACUUCUAAGUAAUUUCUGUCAUCUUAGCCUUAGUGGGACAUUGUGUUGAAACAGUCUUGGCUCUUGACUUCAGAAGAUAAUGGAACAAAUGAACAGCUUUGCGCAUAUAAGAUUUGUAAACAUAGUCUGUUCCUUUUAGGGGCUCAAGGUGCCUGUGAAUGCUCUUCACGGGUGGGUAAGAGAGUUAUGUGCCUUAGGUUUUGGUGGUGUUUGCAUGUGUGCAUGUAUGCAAAACUGAGGUGUGUGACUCGCUGAUGGUCACAAGAGAGACUUAAGUUGGUGUGUAUGGGUGCGUGCUGUAUCUAUUUUAUGACAAUCACUUUAGCUAUGCUGUAUAUUUAUUUAUUUAUAGCUCCUUACUUUUUCAAACAAGACACUCAGAGUGAUGUACAGUAAGUUAUAAAAGCACAUUUCAAUAAUACAAAAUGUAAAAGAAAAAAACAUCAGCAGUGAGCAGAAAAAAACAGGAAGAUUAUGAUGAACAAUACUCAGUUCAUAAGCAAAGAAAUAAUUCUGGCAUUCUUUAUUACUCUACCCACCAUCUUGAAGUGUGGAACGAGCUCUGUUUUCAGAAGGGUCCGUGAACAGAUACAGAGUCUUGAGUUGGUUAUUUCAGGAUCCCAUGUAAUGCUAUGCAGGUGGCUGUGUGUGUUUGCUUGUGAUGGCAAUGUGCUUAAAAUGGACCUUGUUAUGACCUUAGUCAAUCAUGCCUUUGAUCAUCUCUUUAAUGGCCUAAGGCAGAGAUGAGAGGCAUACAAGCUACAUGCAGUUCCUUUGCAAUCGGGCAGGGCUGCUCUCAUACCUAGAGUUCUUUUUUCUGCAGUCCGUAGCAUUUAUGGAACUCUUGAGAAUCCUAGCAUUUACAAAAAUAUAAAAAAUAUGUCUCCACGCAGAAAUUAAGUUUGAAUAUGUGUUUGUGAACAUUUCUGGUGGGUUCUCCAGUUUGGGAAAAGUUGCCUUCUAAUAGCGUAGAGUUGGCGUGCAGUGCUGUGCUUGGCCUGGCUGGACAUUAAUGAUCUGAAAUUGCAUACCAACUUCAAUCUCUUAGUUAGCCAGGCAGGUGCAUGAUUGAUAGUUUUGGUGGCAGUUUAGCAUCCGGUUACAGUUACUGCCAGUACUUAAUAGCCUUGUGUCUCUGCAAAGGGCGAAACACACAUUUGCAGUCUUGCCACAUGGCUCAGAAUCUGGCUCUUCUGGCACACAGAACACAAGUAAUCUGAGAAUAUCCUUGUAUCAGUAUUGCUGGUUGAGAUAUUAUUUAAUGCACUGUUCUGGUUCAGGUUCCAGAAUGCCCUGUUUUGCAAUCUGUGUUAAACAAUGGCUUAAUUCACACCAGGCCUUUGCUCCUGACUGUGUCAGGUGGAUGAAGGUACAAGCUGGAUGUGUGAACAUGGGCACAUGGUUUGUUUCUCUCCAAACAAACCAUGAAUGGAGCCAAGUUUCUGGCUUAGCGCUUACGGUUUGCUUGGAGGACGCAAGCCAUGAGACUGGGUUCACUAGACUCUUGAUUUGUUUCCUUUCCCACACACCACAGUCAGGGGCAAAUUGCUAGUGUGUAGUUCUGAACCAAUCCACUCUCCUUUCUCUGGAAAGAGACGGUUAGUUGAAGAAUGGAGAAAAAGAGCUGAUAAUUCCUGAGUACCCAGCCUUUGAAGAUGGUGCCCAUAGUGAGCAUCUUGGCUCCCCACUAGUAAAGGUUUCCAAACAGUCAUUAUGGCUAAUGGAUAAAAGCUCAGCUUAUUAAAAACUCCCUGAAUAUUUAUAUGCUCAACCAUAAUGGUGGCAUCAGUUAAAUAAUAUAUGUAUUUAGCAACUUGUUAAAUGUAGAAGGCGUAGUCAAGGGCUGUUGGGUAAAUAACACAUGCCUUGAAAUUUUUAUGAACUCCUAAACUAACAUCAAGGAAGACCGGCAUUAAAAUAAUGCUAAGUGUUUAAAUUUAUCAAAGCCCAGAAAUGCUAUUGAAGACACUUUCGGUCUUAAUUCACUUGAUUUAGCUUGUCCCUUGAAAUACUGGACGCUUAUGAGAACAAAGGCAGAUUGGGUUGCUCAUGGUUGUGGAAGCUAGGAUUAACAGGGUGUCCUUAAAGAAUGACAUUUUGCCCCUAAUGCCAGCUCUGUGGGAUUAAACCUCAAAGCGGUGUCAUCACAGAAGCUCAUGGCAAUCCCAAAUGGGCUGUCUUGUCAUGCAACACGGCACCCGGCCAAACUUUCAUGUCCAGGCAGUGACUCUGGCCCCUAUUAAAUCCAUAGCCCUGUCUGUGACAGUUGCCAAGACCCACAGUUUUUGCAGAGGCGUCACUCCUCUUGCAUUGCCGCUGCUUACGGAGGUUUGAAAUCUUUCCUGGACUGCAGGCACUUCUGGCGCGGAGUCUUCCUUUGCUUGUGGCACCCAGUGUUAACUCAGUUAGAGAGGCAUCUUUUGUGAGUUCUUGUAGUGGGGCAAAUUGGACCAGGUGGCUCUCCGUGUGAGCCGAAGGACUUUCUGGGUUAGGAUUCCUUUAUUGUCUGCUUUGGCUUUUAGGGGCUUGGCUAAACAGCUGAUAGUGGGUGGUGCAUAAUGGCUAAGAGCUGAGAAGUACCAGGCUAAAAUGCUAGCUCAGCGUGGACUUGCCAGGUAGUCCAAGACAAGACACACACUACUAAUGUUGACUUGCCUUUCAAGGGGAGAGAAAAAAGAAAUAAUAGCCUAGCUGUGAUUUCUCUGAACUAGUUGUUCCUUGCUCUAGGAUUGUCUGCACUGGCUCCCUGAUGCAGAAAUAUUUCUGGGGAGUCUCAGUAAUACAGUGUUUCCUCAUUAGUUUAAGAAAUUGUUUAGUGCUCAUUUAGAAAUGGAUGAGUUCCAACUCUCAAAAGGUUUCAGGCUGCAUGUGGCAGAUUCCCCUGUCCACACGACGAGCAAGCUGCUUUGAACAUGAAACUUGCUGUGUGGAAACAGACACUGCAGUGAUAAUUUUACAGUAGGCCCUGGCGUUGUGGAUGUUCUGUGCACACGGGUUGCAUUUCUGAGUUAUGGUCUGCUUGCUGACACUUGGACCCAAGAGAAGGCCAAGAUUGAGGUCUCCUAAAUGGAGGCACAAGUGGUAAAUGAGAUCAUUAAUUGCUGGAGCCUGCACUGUAGCAAAUUGACUAGAAAUGUGGAUUCAGAGAAAUUGAUAUACUUUAUUGCUCCUACCGAAAUGAAUUCCCCUGUCUCUCCUGCCCCCUCGGCAGUAAUGAGCACGUUGGGCCAGCCCCGUGAUUGGCGUUGCUGCCUUACUGAACUGUUUUGCAAAGUUUUACACAUUUCUUGCAUGAUUAAAUGCACUUUCAAUAAAUCAAUCUCAUAAUAAUUGUUGUUCAGGAGAGUUCAUUAUUCAGUUUAGUCUUUUAAAUGACUGUUCUUCUUUAAAGGAUUUUCCUGACGUAAUAAUGGCUUCAGCUAAAUCCAUUUGCCAUACUCUGGCUUGUAAUUACUUUAGAUUUGAAGAAUAAAAUGAAUGGCUUUAUUAUUAAUCAGCAGCAAAUUUGUCUUACUGUUUUUAACCUUAGAAUGGCCUUCACUUGUAAAGUAGUUUCGGUGAUUCAGAUGGCAGAACACUUUUUUAUCCCUUCUCUUCCCUUUUGGAUAAAAGGAUUUAUUUGGUGAAAGCAAUUGGUAUCCUUUUUUUUGCAAGCCAUUUAUCACAAUGAUUGUAACCAUGCAGUGGUGAACAAAUUAGCUUCCACCACCCGCUUGGUGUCUCAAUGGCUUCUUGUCUGGCCUUUUGUGCUUCCUUCAGGUUGUACAUUUGUCGUGACCUGAGCUGUCUGCUGUGACUUCACUGGGCCAACUCUGGAUAAAAAAGUAGAGUAAGUUUAAGAACCCAAGCAAGGAACUCUGCAUCCCAUACUAUCCAUUUUAAUAGGAUUGAACCAAGUACAUGGUUUUGAAAUUCAGAUAUUUAUUGGAUUUCCACAUUUUUUUCUUUCGUAUUGUUAAAAAUAGCAUUCAUCUCGUAGUCAACAUCCACUAAAAGUGAUGGCUUCCUCCAAAUUCUGAACCCCAAAGACAGGAAAAAGAGGUUGUGUAAAUGGAAAGGAUAGAGUACCUCCAAUCUGAUGAAAGCUGGCUCAAAGAAAAAAUAAUAGAGGAAACAGAAGAAUAGAAAGUUCACAGGAGGAGAAGAGGGAAAGAAGGGAGGCCAACUCAAAGAUGGAGGUAUCAGAGCUUUCAGCUUUGAAACAUCAGCAAUGUUUUUCCAAUUUACAAGUCUGCAUAUCUAGAAUCUUGUAUUGACUCUCUCACAUCAAGCUGUAGCACAUCCUCCUCUUCUCAGUAAGGGGAAUGACACACAUUUUUGCAAUGUUGUUCUAGCUCUUUUGUCAGGCUGCUGGUUUUUGGAAGGUUGCGAUAUGUUCAGAAGGCUCAACUGAGUUGGAAUGACUUGUUUUGCUUUCUCCCUCUACUGAACCUGCCCUUAUAUUUCUGGCUUUUCUGCUCACUGGGUGUUGUCAUCUCCCAAUCUGCCACCUGUCCUUUUCUAAAUAAUGUCCCUUCCUUUCAUUGGCAAGUUCUUUAAUGUCCUUCCCAUCUCUUCCUCCGCAGCCCCCUACCAUCAGCCCUCCUUUGAAGCUAAAUGUAGGAAAUUUCUCAGGGUGACGAGUUUUGUUUUCCCAUUGCAAAGUUGACUGUAAUAGUUUCAGUCCUCAGCUGCACGUUAGAAAAUUAGCAUUAUGAUUUUUUUGUUGGAACUGUUUUGCUUAAGAUCCUUUACAUCUUAAGUGUCCUCCAUUUCAUAUUUGUUUCAAUUUUGCUAAUUCUUUGAAGACCAUGACAAUAUUAUAUGUUUCCAGUUGCCUUGAAACUUCAGCAAUCCCAUAAUACAGCUUUGCAGUAUUGUCAUAGGCACAACAAUUUUGCUGAUGCCUUGUAGUCUAAUUUUGGUUGCUGCUGAAAUUGCCUGGUUUGCAUGUCUAGUUGUUUAGUCGUGUCCGACUCUUCGUGACCCUAUGGACCAGAGCACGCCAGGCACUCCUAACUUCCACUGCCUCCCGCAGUUUGGUCAGACUCAUGUUGGUGGCUUCAGGAACACUGUCCAACCAUCUCAUCUUCUGUUGUCCCUUUCUCCUUGUGCCCUCCAUCUUUCCCAACAUCAUGGUAUUUUCCAGGGAGUCUUCUCUUCUCGUGAGGUGGCCAAAGUAUUGGAGCCUCAGCUUCAAGAUAUGUCCUUCCAGUGAGCACUCAGGGCUGAUUUCCUUCAGAAUGGAUAGGUUUGAUCUUCUUUGCAUGUCCUAAAGGUAAAGGUAAAGGGACCCCUGACCAUUAGGUCCAGUCGUGACUGACUCUGGGGUUGCGCGCUCAUCUCGCAUUAUUGGCCAAGGGAGCCGGCGUACAGCUUCCAGGUCAUGUGGCCAGCAUGACAAAGCCGCUUCUGGCAAACCAGAGCAGCACAUGGAAACACCGUUUACCUUCCCGCUGUAGCGGUUCCUAUUUAUCUACUUGCAUUUUGAUGUGCUUUUUAACUGCUAGGUUGCAUGUCCUAGUAAGCCAUAAUUCCAAAUGAGCUGUGGCUUACCAUGCCUGCUGCCCAAAUCAUGCUCUCCCCCCUCUUCCCUUUUCUGACACAAGAGGAAUUUUUUUUUUUUUUUUGGCUUAACAUUAUGUGUGAAUUAGCCCUUGCGGUUGGGUUCUGUCCAAAAAAGGUUUGUUCUUGGCAUCUUCUCGUGGUUUGUUUCAAGAGAAACUAACCAUGCGUGCUAGUUCACAUGCAGUUCUUAGCUAAUCCUCUGGUUUGGUUCUUUCAAAGGGAGGAGUGGGGUUGGUGCAAUUGAACAAACAUGCUCUUUGUUCAUAGUACACCAUAGUUUGUACCUGCAGUUUAUGAUUGUAUGUGAACCAGGCCUGGUGCACAAUUUCUGUUUAGAGCUAAACUCCUAGUUGGCAGCCCUGUCACCAUGUCACUGAAGGAAUAAGCAGUUCUGAUCUAGUAUUUGUUUUUUAAGUGCUACUUUUUUCCUAAUCUCAGAACAAGGGGGGCAGAAUUACACAGUUGGGCAGAUCCUCCCAGAUUAUAAAUAAAAUAUGAUGUAGAUAAGCUAAAUGUGAAACUUAUUUUUGUAUGUCUGUCCUCAAAAACCAAGAUGGAGAUCCAGAGGUGCUAAAGUUCUUUCCUUUAGGUUGGAUUGUCUCUUCAAGCUUAUGAGUAUCUUUAAAGAACUGUACUGGAGAUCCCAUGAUUGUCUCAUUUUGCUGGAAGCCUUUAAAAAAGUCUUGUUGUUGUUUAGUCGUGUCCGACUCUUCGUGAGCCCAUGGACCAGAGCACGCCAGGCACUCCUGUCUUGCACUGCCUCCUGCAGUUUGGUCAGACUCAUGUUGGUAGCUUCAAGAACACUGUCCAACCAUCUUGUCCUCUGUCAUCCCCUUCUCCUUGUGCCCUCCAUCUUUCCCAACAUCAGGGUCUUUUCCAGGGAGUCUUCUCUUCUAUGAGGUGGCCAGAGUAUUGGAGCCUCAGCUUCUAAAGUCUAAGAAAGUCUUAAAAAGUCUAGACUUUGCUAUCAGUUUAUUAUGUGUGUCCAUCUUUACCAAAUCUUCCUUUGGAAGGAUACUCACCCUAAAAUGAUGAUGGACAGCUUGAUUAUUUCCUCCCUACAUGCAGGUCCUGCCAGAGCUGUGCCUUUAUUGAAUGGUGCUAGACCUUUGACAACAUAGUUCCAACAACAACAGAAGCUACUCAGCUUUAAGGACUUACUCUGUUCAAACAGAAGGAGGAAUUAACCUCAGUAGCAGAUUAGUUACUCUGCACAGGGCAGCAUUGCAAAAAAUAAAAUAAAAAAUCUGGGGUAGAGGAAUGAGAUGAAUUAUCUAUCCAGGGAUUAAUUUAGCACGGGACAGAGAAUUUGGUCUUGAGACAACGAAGCCACCAAACUGAAAACCAUACCUAUGGGCAAGCCAAGGGUUGGGGAGAGGGUCCUAACCUGUAGCUCAGGAAUUUGUGAAUCUCCUUUCCCCAGAGCUUGGGUGAACAUCUCUUGCAUACAGUUUUUGCUUGAGUGAAUUCUGCUGUGGCAGAGUGUCACGCUGAAAUCUCUGAGCAUGGUAUUGGAUCGAAAAAGGCCCUCAUCAUCACUAUAGAAGUGCCAAGUUUGGACUUCUCUCAUAAGUUUCCAUUUGGGCUGCAAUAUUAAAAAUGACAAGAGGCUUGUUGCAACCCACCCUUCCAGUGAUGUUUGGAAGGACAGUUUGAAGAUGAGUGGUAGGCCAACUUUAUAUCACCGAUCACGGUUAUUUUUUGGUGAACUUUUGGGUUCCAACUCCAAGCAUAGGAAAGACCCCAAGAUUCAUGAUUGUUUUGAAGGGAAUGGAGCAAGCGGCCAGACCAAAACAAACAGUCUUUAUAUGGAUUCGGUCAGGUUCAACAUCCCAGCCUGUUGCGCUUGGUGGCUGGGUUAUGCUUUGCUUAGAGCAGGUCUCUAUUUUAUGUUGGAGAAGUGACUCCUAAGUUUUCGGAGCUUCCCUUUGAAAUGCAGGUGUGUUAUAUAUUUCAUGGAAAGCAUAGCUUUUUUGGGGACAGGAGAAAUACCCCUGGGUUAAAAUGCAGGAAGUGCAGUUGUAGCAAUAAAGAUUAUGUUGCUGAUGAGUUCCCCUCCAGGCCCCAUGGCAGUAAUACCUCUAUAUUUUGUCUUUAAGGAAAACUGCUGAGAGGCAAUAAUUUUUUUUGUAUGUGUCCCAUUUUCAUUAAUGCCGGGUAAUUGAUGGAGUUGCAGUGACUUGUAACAGUGAUGAGUUCUAAACAUAAGAAUGCACUCCUUCCUAAUAAGUGAGCACUGCUGGGCUUUAAAAGCGUACUAAAUCAGUUGCUUUAGUGUGAAUUUAUUAGUUUUUUUCAGCAUUAGCUUUAAUAGUAGUUAUUUACAUAAGCGUACAUCCCAUUAACCGCCAUCAGGGCUGGAAAACAUGCUGAACUGUUCAUAUUUUCAUAUAAUUAUUGAACAUAAUGGUUUCAUUUGCAUUUCUAAACAGUGAUGUUUCUGUCAAGCUUGGAAAUAGUGGCUUUACGCAGUCCCUAUUUCACAUCCACUUAUUUGACAUCGUUAAAUUUUAUGCUAAUGUGCUUCCCUAGAAUAUCAUCAGUAGGACAGAUGUUUGUGCUUUAAUAUACAAAUCAGAGAUGCUUUGCCUUCCUCGAUCCCUCCCCAAACUGCAAAGGAUUUUUUUAAAAACUGCUCUUCGCACUUUUUAGAUGUAGUUUGUGUCACUCCAAAUAGCUGUGAAAAGUAAAAAAAAAACUCCAGUCCUGACCUCAGCCGCUGCUAUGAAAUCUUCUGACACCUACUUUCCUUGCAGGAGCGCAAGAUGCAACCUUUCUUCCCCAUGGAGGAGAGUCUCUACAGAGAGAAUUAUUUUCUUUGCACGAUAAUUUUUGGAAGGGUAUAGAGCAAGCCGCUAUAUGCAGAGGUCAGCAGAUUUAUCAGUGAUGAAAUGAGGCAAGGUAGCUGUUUGGCAGCAUUGAAGCUCUGGAUAAGAUGAUGCCAGAGCCCUGACCCUGUGUGCGUGUGUGUGUGUGUGUGUGUGCGCAAGGAAGAAAGUCAAAGGACUUGCCCCUCGGAGUCAGAAGCCAAGGCAGGGGAACGCCAUGAUAAAUUCCCUGGUGCGUUCCGGUCCUUUUCCGCCCUAUGAGACCCAGGGCUCAUUUUUAAUAUGAACUGGUGGUGUAGUGAAAUUUGUCUUGUCCUGGUUGUAUUUAAUUGCUUUAGCUUCUUGAGGGGCAGCUAAUAUGCAUUGGGAUUUUGCUGCCUGAUGCGAGAGUGGGAAGUCAUUUUGCUGGUCCCUGGUCCUUCCCUGAGGUUUGUGGUACUGCUUUGAGAAAAGGAGAAGGCUUCAGGAGGAGGCAGUGGAGGCUGGAGUUCCUCCCUCUUCCCAUGCCCCCCCCCUUGCAUGAGAGUUCUGAAACCAAACACAGUCAUUCUGAGGUUCCCUGAUUGUGGGUUCUAGGUUGAUGAUCCAGCAACACAGUUUGCAAUUUCAGGAGGAAGUGGCAGGUUGUCUCUCAGGGGAUUGGCUGCUUUGGGGCAGCAGCAACCCUCCCCUUUUCCUCCCCCAGCACUGAACUCUCUUGUGUCCCUUUUUUUGUCUCCGGGGUGGUGGUGGCGGCGCCUUGCUGCCCCUCAGGGAAUGCCAAGGCAACCCAUUACAGCCAUACCUCUAGUUACGUAUGCUUCAGGUUGCGUACUUUCAGGUUAAGUAUGUGGCAAGACCCGGAAGUGUUUACUUCAGGGUUCCGCCGCGCGUGCAUGCGCAGAAGCGUCAUGCGCACUUCGUGCAUGCGCAGAAGCAUCCUGCACACUUCGUGCGUGCGCAGAAGCGCCUCUCUAGAUACGUACUUUUUGGGGUGCGAAUGGCACCCCGGAACGGAUCAGGUACAUAUCUAGAGGUACCACUGUAUUUGGACCACGGGUGACAACCUGGAGGCUGAGAGGGAGGGUGUGUCAGAAUGAAAAUGAAUUGAUACUGAUUUAUUUAUAUUAGUAACUUUGUAUUAAUGCAGCAUUUUCUAUAUGUAAUUGUGUAGUUUUGUAAUAUUUUACUUAAGAUGCCUGUUCUUGCUUCAGGGCUGUUUGUCAAAUAAUCAUUUGCAAGCCUUGGAUGGACCAUCCUCCAAAUUAAGGUGGGAGAAAGGAAGGUGGGAAGAGAUUGAAAGGGCAUGGAGAUAAGGAGAAAAGAGACAAGGAAGAAGAAAGAAGAAGAGAAUAAGAGGCCAAAGAAAUAAAGGAAGCAAUAGAAUGGAGGACUGAAGGGAGUUAUAGGAUGCCCCCAGAUAAGCUUGAUAUGUCAAGAGGUGGAAAGGCUACUGUUGUUUUUUUAUACAGCAUAUAUUUACUGUGUUUGCCCUCCCAACAAUCCUGUGUCAUUAUUUCCUAGUUCCUACACAUAGGGUCUGUAGCUGGAGGAGACAGACUUACCUUCGUGUCAGAGGCAGAAGCUAAAUCCAAGCCCAGUGCUAUUCUCUAUCCUCACAUGGUGCUAUGGCUUAAAUCUUCAGCUUCCCUUAGAAUAUCCAUGGCAUGUUUGGAAAAGAGACAAUGUUAUCGUGCCAAGUUACAACAAAGCAGGAAGGGGUGGCUCUAAAGCAGGCAUAGAUAACCUCCGGCCCUCCAGAUGUUUUGGACUACAAUUCCCAUCAUCCCUGACCACUGGUCCUGUUAGCUAGGGCAGUGUUUCUCAACCUUUUUUGGGCCACGGCACACUUGUUCUAUGAAAAAAAACCCCGCGGCACACCAACUCUGUGCCGCCCUAUAUUUAGUUUGGAGGGGAGACGCGUAAAGCAUGCCACUGCUGCGCGGUAGCCAGGCGGACCCACCAGGCGCAGAGCCUGCGGAGCGAGCGGGGACACGUCAUAAGCAGCCUGGGGGUGGCUCGCCUCAGGCCGCCCGGCCCAAAACCGGGCCUACAAGCCUGGUCCGCCGCCCGCCUGCCUACCCGCCCUCGCUCGCUCGCUCCUCCCGCCUAGCCACCCGCCGGCCUCCUUCUUCGCAAGCGGUACCUGCUGCUCAGGCGGGUGUCGCCGCCUCCGCCGCCGUGCUGCUCGGCCUCCCGUCAGAAAGGCGACAUCUCUCUCCCUCUGUCGCACCCGCCGCAACGGUUGGGGAAGGCCGGCGAACGUGCGCACCUCCUCGGGCGGGCUCUCUGCGCCGGGCCUGCUCAGUCGCCGGUCGCCGCGCGCUCUCUCGCUCGGCUGCAGCAGCAGCCUCUCCGUCGUCGUCGUCCUCUUCCUCCCCCCCACCCGCAAUCACUCACCGGCAGGCUGGAAGCGAGCGGGGGGGGGUGUGUGGGAGGAGGGAGGGGGAAGGAUGACCUCUCGUGAGAACAAAUCACAGCCGUCGCGGGGAUUUUCAAAUUCUUGAGCUCUUGCUGUUGUUUCUUUUAAAUUACGGCACGCACAGACCCCAGACGGGCAGACGAUAAUGGCGAUUUGCAUUGUCCUUUCCGGCGGGUCAGCGACGUGACAAUGCAAAUCGCCCUUCUCAUCGCGGCGCAGCAGCCAGUGUCUCGCGGCACAGUAGUGUGCCGCGGAACACCGGUUGAGAAACGCUGAGCUAGGGAUCAUGGGAGUUGUAGGCCAAAACGUCUGGUGGGCCGAAGGUUGCCUAUGCCUGCUCUAAAGUGUUCCUCAUCCCAGUGCCUCAUGUUUGUGAGAAUGCUGUGCACCCAAGUUCAUACUGCUGCCUUUGGGAAUUCAUAUUUUAAAAUACCAUAUCGGCAGACCUGCUGCGGCUUCCACUGCAAAUGGUUUUUCUUUUUUUGGUAGGACCUUCCUCAAAGUAAAGUUGGAGUUCUUCAAAUAACUACUUUUGGAAUUGCUUGGAGUUGCUGCAAUCUUCCAUGGCAAAGACAUUAAUUGCCUUGUACUUUAUUUCCAACUUAAAACAAUAUUUUUUAAAAAUAGUGAAAAAGAAGAUGAUGUGCUGUCAUUUGACAAUGCCACAUAAAACUUUGGGGAACAAAGGGAGUCAUUGGGGUGCAUAAAGAAAAGCAAAACCUACAGGUUAUCUGUUUGUUCCUCAGAUCCUGGAGAGUAGACUGUGGAUUCGUAGGCAUGCCUUCUGGUUUUUAUGUAUGUUGCAAUAAAAUGGUGAGGAAUGAUAAAUGUUAACAUCCUUUAAAUCAUUCCUUUAACCUUAAACUGAAUAUCACUGGUGCCAUGCGAUAGGCAUUGGAACAGAAAUGUUCAGGUGGGACUCGGCAGUGCCCGGCAGCACAAGUGUGACAGCUUAAAUACCAACGUGAUUUAAAUGUGAGCAGUCUGAAGGUUGCAUUUUGAGGACUAAGAAUAAAACAAUUUCGGCAUAUUCAAAUGUGAAUGUUGACGAGCUAGGAGAAUGUAAGGAGAGCUAGCUGUCCAGGGGCCUCCUCUUGCCUGGGCGUACGCAGGUGCAGGAAGAGAAGGCAGCUGGCAUGUUGGACGAGGCUUCUACACUAUGAAUUUAACCUUGCCAAAAGAUUUGGAUUCAGAAGCCUGAUUGUCCAGCCAAGGUGACUGCUGCUGCUUCUAUCUGAGGUAUCUAACUCAAGCCAAGGAGAUCAACUGACUUGCUAAGUCUGUCCUCGUUUUGUAUAGCCCAGCCAGCUAGCUUUCCUUGGCUGUGCCAAGAUAGUUUCAUUCCUGGUGGACGGGUGCUCCCUAGGAAAUAUCCUAUCACAUGCUUAAUGUUUUAAGGGGACAUGGAGAGGUGACUGAAAAUUAUGUUGCUGGAUGUGCUGUGGCCUUGGAUAUGGAACGGCCUGCAUUUUGUAACUGGAAGGGAAAUUCUGUUGGGGCUCUGGAAGUUACGGUGAAUGCUGUGCGUGGCCAAGUGAUAAGGGACUGCUGUCCAAUUUGUGUGUUCGGCGGCACCUGUGCAACUUGAUUGUGUUUGAUUUCAGUAAUGGAAAAGGAGGAAUAUGAUCUGGCACACUUCCUGACGAAGAACAGAACUCAUGUGUUGGAGUUGCUUUCCUUCGUGGGUGAAUAUUUUGCCCUUUGGUAUCUUAUCACAGGAACUGAAAAGGUGGGUAGGAAUUAGUGAACACCAAGGUGGUGGUGGUCAUUUCUGCAAUAUGUUCUUUUGAAGUCCUGUAGAGGAUUGAUUUCGACAUAUGUUUGCAUAGCCGAGGUGUGCUUCAUGUAUCUAACAAAGUAGACCAUUGGCAGGCAAGCUGGUAAGUCUGCGUUGGGCCCUAGAGUGAUAACUUGGUAAGUGAAGCAUAUUUAUACAAGUUUGCCUAGGUGGCAUGCUUCUUUCAUCUAAAAGAACUUGGAUUUUCUGGUUGAGGUAUUUGUGGUUAUUUAGCACUAAAUUCCAGGCUUCCUGUCAUAAAAGCUGCCUUUGUGAAGCCCUAUCAAGACACCAUUAAUCUUAGCUCAGUGGUGGCACAUGCUUUGCAUGCAGAAGGUCCCAGGUUCAGCUGUGUCUGGCUAGAAGGGUUUAGUUAGUAGGCAAUGGGAAUGACUUCUGCGUCAGACCCUUGAGUGGUGCUUCAGGCAAAGGGGUCAAUACCAGGAUAGACUUACUGAUGGUCUGACUUGGUGGUACCAAGUUAGCUUUGUGUUGUGAGUGCUGGAACUAUCUCUCAAUUAGCUCAACACACUCUUUGAAUCCUCAGCAGACCAGUUUCCAUGCUAUGUGGCAUGGUUGUCGCCUGCCUUAGUCAUGGCAAUGGCCAACUCUACGGUCAUAGGUCAAGCAACUUGAGAAUAUAGCACACCAAGUCUUGACACUGAAAGGAAACUUCUUUCUUUGUUGCAAUUUGAUUUGGAGAUACAAAAAUUCACUCCUUUCUCUAGGCCAGGCUAUGUGUACGCUGCCCUAAGAAUACAUAAGUAGAUCCUGAAGUGAAUGCAAUGACCUGUAAAUAUCAAGCCAAUUGGACAAAUCAACACAACUGCUGUUUUUUGUUGUUUUGCUGGUCAUGGGGAACUGUGAAGGCCACUGAAUACUACUACAAUUGAAAAUGGUCUUAGAAACCUAUAUGGCUUCUGAGAUUUCAGGGAGCUUUGCCCCCACACUUUCAAGCAUAUAUCCACAGAUUGUCAGGGCUAGCAACUUGCAUUCUUAAUAUAUAUUUAAAAAGCUGAAUUAAUGCCCUAAAUCACACCAUUUCUUGUACUUCCAUAGAAUUGUGAUGUACAUUCCACAGUGACUUAGGCCUAUGAAUUUUGAGUUCCUUUUUACUAGAAAAUGGUUUGAAUCUUUCUUCCUGAGAUUUUUUUUCCAGAAAAAGGUUUUAAUGUAAGUUUCCCAGCUCUAGAAUUUUGAGCAUUUAAACUCAAAUUCUUGCCUCCGUGAAGUAUGAAAGUUGACACUUGUUUGGUAUAUGAUUGUGGGAAGAGUCAGUUGUCCUGGUUGUAUUGCUUUUCUUAAGACAAGUUGUUUUGAGUGCUCAUAAAUUUAAUGGCCUUGUUCUUUCAGUAAUCUCUAAGAAUUCUGGAGUGCAUGUUAAAAUCACGUGAGGAGACUGAAUAGGUGUCUAUGCUGAACCAUCUGCCAAAUCCAGCAGCAGCAGCAGCAGCAGGAGCAACCAUUCCAACAAGUGCUUAGCUCCUGGUGCAAACCAUGUGGAGAGUUAUUUUUUAUUCAACCCCCCCCCCCCCCCGGUUCUUGAACUUUAAUAGAAAUGUACUCUACCGCUGUGGCGUCUGAUUUUCCGUAUGUUCAUCAUGUAAAGAUUCUGGGCGCUGUCAGUUCUGGUCUGCCUGGAAUAGCUUUUAAAUUAAGUGUCCUCAAACUUCUAUUUCCAUAAUGCAAGAGAACUCCUCUCUAUUAAAAGCUAGGUUUGAUAAAGGCUGCUGCUGAAUUGUGGGAAUGAAAAUUCAAACUUUACUGUAAAUAGCGAGAGAAGAGAGUUAGUUCUCUGAAUACUUCACUGUAACUCUGCGUUAAAGCACUGAUCAUUGCAUGAAGCGGAAGAGUGGGGCUCUGUGUCCUGUCUCCUCCGUUGUCCCUUGAGUUUCCUGUCCACAAGGCUCUCCACCAGUUGAGGGCAUGCCUAUAGCCUACAUUUGGCUCUCUCUGUGAGUGGGAACCCUGGGGGCUCAGUUUACCCAGUUGGCUUCUCAGGAUGUUUCACUGGGUAUAUAUACCAAGUACAUCUACUCUACAGUGACACAAGUGAGGUCACUGGAGAAGGACCAGGGCUCUUUUCACAUGCCUAUGAAGGAAAACACCGCUCUCUGCUCUUCUCCAUAAUUCACAUGGCUCAUGUGGAUUUUGUACUUGGUUCUCAGGUGCUGAGUGGCAAGAUAGUCUACACAUAUUAGUUGUGGGGAUGGACUUGGGAGGCUUGCCCUCUUCAUCAUUGUCCCCCGUACGACACUCCCAUGCCGGAGGUGUGGAUGUGUUUUUACCAAUCUGUACAUGAAAUACAGUGAGUGGAGGUAUUUAAAGGAAGGCAAAAAGGCCAGCUGAUGGGCCCGAAACAGAGAUGGAUUGGAAGCCUUUAGGUGAGAGAUUGGAAAGGUGUAAAGGAAACAGCCUGCCAAUGGCUGGGAUGUAUUUCCUAUUCAAAACAGUUGAGUGCCCCAUAAAAGUUAAAUACCGCUGAGAAAAUUGGUUGUUUAUCUAAACAGAAUGUAUGGUUUAGUAAGAAGAGGUAUUUAUGGUUUCCAAGAUGAAGCUGAGACCUUUUUUUUUUCUUGUGUGUGUAUAUUAUCCCCACCUCAGUGGCCCUGUUUUGGGCAGUCUGUUCCUUUGGACUCUUCAACUCUGCCAGGUUUUGGAAUGCUGUAUAUUGAUUACUGGAUUUCAUUUGUAUAGAUGUCAAAAACAUAGGUAUGUACAUCAGAAUAAAACAGAAGUGUACCAUGCCAUGUAUUGAAGCUGCCUAUUUUGGAGGGGGAUAACAUGCCUCUUGAUGCGGUUCUCUUUUGGGUCCAGUUACUGGGAUUGCCCCUGAAGUGGAUUGCUAGUUCAUUUGCAACUUGUCCAUGUGUCUCUGGGAUAACUUCAGGCAGUCAAUAAUUAUGCCUGAUAUUAGGUUGAAUUUAUCCAUUGUGCCACCAUGAGCAUUUACGCAGAGUAGAUUGAACCCCACACAUUUCUUUCCCGAGGGACUAGUGCUGGCAUAGUUGGGGUGUCUUUGCUAGCCAUUGAAUGCAGCAAUACAGAGGAGUUAGUGCUAUUGAACUGUGUGUUUGGCAAACUUUACAUCUAAUCACCACUCUUCUCCCUGAAUUUCCAAAGCACUUGCUGUCGUGCGUGAAUGGCUUUAUUUCAUUUGGUGUCAUCCCAAAGUUUUAAACAGAUGUUCGAAAUGCAGCUAAUUUGGCAGUAAUAGACUUGGAUUGCUAGUGCAGUAGCUUUCAAUGUAUUGUAUACCAAGUUUCCUACUGUGCUCCCUUAAAUCCUCCAGCACAAUAAAAAGUGAGCACUAAAACUGCUGCUCAAUUGGAAAUUCUUGUUCCUGUUCUCACACGUGAUGGAGCUUGAAGGUUUGGGGGCUGCUUUAAUUGUGUAUUGUAGGCAUUUAGGGUUCUUCCCUAUGGUCUGAAUUAACUUGUAGAAAGUGGAAUCAGCUUUGUAUUUUUCUUGUGGGGCUCGGAAAAAAGGGAGAAGGCUUCAGCUGAAAUAAUGGUCAUGGAAAUGGGAAGAUAUCACAAAGCUGGGCUUAUGGGAAGAUUAUUUAACUCUUUUGGUUGAGAGUAGUAGAUUUCCCAUCCCACCAAGUAAAGGAGAAUAUUGCCUCUCAGUUCAUUUUCUACAGUUGGGAUAUUAGUGUUGGGUAGAAGGCAAAAUUAGUGAUUGGUAGCCUUUCACCUGCCUAGGCCAUUCUGAGGAGUGGAGCCCAUCUGCUGCAUUCCACAGCAAGAUGGAAGAAACCGAAAGGAGACAAUGUAUGUCAGAGCAGUUCAAACCAUUCCCCUGUUUAUUCACGCUUUGCCUUGAUCAUGUGAGUUGGGAACAAUGGGGUUGGUCCCCAGCCACAGUUCUCCAUUUGGUCUCAGCUUUGAAUGCUAGAGCAUGAAUUGUGUAUGUACAAGUUUUCACCCCUUCCUGGACUGGUGUCUUGGGAAGCACACUGCAGCAGCCAGAUAGGGAUAUGGGAUUACUCUUGCAGUGAGGAGUUCAGUAAAUCUGCUUCUCCUGCAGGGAGUGCCUCACUGGAUUUUACCCCAGGGGAACCUGGUCUGCAAAAUGGAGUUGUGGCUAUUGCAGAAAUUGAGUCAAGCAAUUACGGGUUUACUUGUACAGUGAAAGGUUUAAAAGUAGGCACAACACCCACCCACCCACCACACAUACUCAUAACAGAGUUCCCUUUUCCUCCUUAGUAGCACAUGAUAUUAAAAGUGCACAAAUAGCUGGAGACCAAGGAGGCUAGCAGCAGCAGCAGCAGCAGCCACCUCUGUAUUCAGUUUAGCAAAGGACAGCAGCAGCAACAACAACUAUUAAACUCUGAGCAUUAAAUAAAAGCCAUUGGUGCUUCCUGGGUUAUUAGAAUGUAAGGUCUGACCUGCUGGUUCACACUGAAGGUUCUGUUUUGUUCCACUCUCUUGUCCUAACAGAGGCUAGCCAUAUGUCUUUGGGGGAAAAGAGACAAGCAUCUUCUCUUGCAUUGUCCCCAGCACCUGGUGUUUAGAGGCAUGUUGAUUCUGAACUUGCCAUUUAGCUAUCAUGUCAAUCUUCAGUCUUCCAAAACCCUGAGAUAAGUUUGGAAAACACAAAUCUGGGGAUUCUUGUUGGUUCUGGCCCUGCGCUGUUCCACCGUGGUUCUGUUCCUUUCUCGUGUGGUAUGUCAUGGUUUGGAUUGUGUUCAACAAUUUUUCUUACAUUUUUAAAAUUCUUUACAUUAGGGUCACAAAGUAGGUCAGCCUUAUCAGCCCAAUAGCACAGAUUGUCGGGGUUGUGGCUUUACCCAAGACACUUUGUGACCUCAUGAAACAGGCAGAUUUGAAAAUGGGAACUUUGCUGGUUUGCAGAGUAUAGAAUCAUAGAAUUGUAGAGUUGGAAGGGACCCCAAGGGUCAUCUGGUCCAACCCUCUGCAAUGCAGGAAUCUCAGCUAAAGCUUCCCUGACAGAUGGCCAUCCAACCUCUGCUUAGAAACCUCCAAGGAAGGAGAGGCCUAUGUAUGUUUACUCCAGAAGUAACUCAUAUUGUAUCCAGAAUGAACCCUUUCUGCUGAUACAAGUUCUACUCAGAAGUAAGUCCCUUUGAGUUUAGUGAGUCUUACUUCCAGGUAAAUGAGUGUGAAGUUUGAGCUUUAAGCCUCCACACUAUACUAGCUCUUUGUGUGACUGUUGGUUGGGUGCUUUUUUCCUUUUUGUGUGACUACAGAUCUCACAGAAAUGCUUCAGAGGUCAUGUGCUUCUCACACUUAGCGUUAAUUAAAUCAAUUUAGGUUUGCAAAUGACUGACAAUCUUCCAAAUCAAAGGUACUGUUAAUUCAAGAUUUAUCCAUAUGCAAUUUAGACUAUCCUAUCUUGGAUUUCUCUUUCAAGUUUCCAUCACUACAUUGCUUAAAUGUAUCCAUAUGGCAGCCUUAUCUUACUGAGCACAGUUCUUUAAUGAUCUCCUAAUUAGACAAAUAUCAUUAGAGAUGAAGAUACUGUAUGAACCAGGCUUUAUGGCCUGAUCGUAAAAAGAAUCCAAUAAACAGGCAUACUUAUCCAAAUUUAUGUUAAAAUGGCAUCAAAGGGCUUGCUUAAAAUCAUAUUAAGGGGUAACGAAGUUUGGAAUGGUUCCGGGUUUUGACAUCAAGUAAGGAACAGAGUUAAAGUCCAUAUGCUUUUCCUCAGCAGAGUGGGACAUGAAGGGUAAUGAGCAAACUUGUAUGUAUGGCUUGUCUGGUUUCUGUGGCUUUUAGCUUUUGCUAUAUUAAGCCCCUAUGAAUGGCGCAUGUUUAGCCAAAACAGGUGAUUUAUGCAAGGCCUAAGCAUCUCCGAUAGGUUCAUCAUGUUUGCAGCUGUUGAGGUGCAGUGGUUACGAUGGUGAGCCCUGAACCAGAGAACUCUCAUUUCAGACCUUGCCUUGACCAGGAGGUGAAUUCAGGUGACCAGGAAGUGAAUUAUCUGCUCCCUCCCCUGCCACUGCUGCUCUUCCAGAGCUUACUUUGUUGAAAUACAAACACUCUGUCUUGGGGGUGGGCUGCAUUUUUCUGCCUAAGUGCUGCAUGCUAGGAGGGGGGCAACGUGACCAGGGCUGGAUGCUAGAUGUGGGCUGAACCAGAUGCAAAAGUGCGUGACUCUUUCCUUUCUAUAGUAGGUUGCCUUACAGACAUGCAAAAGUCAGAGAGGUGUGAGCAUCUUGUAUGUACACCUGAGCUCACACACAUUCCAUCCAGACGAGCAGAAAGGCAUUGCCACUGCUGAGCACUUGAGGAAGGGUUGGAGGAAGGCUGGCAAGUGGUGUGGCCCAGGAUGAAUCCCUUAGACUAUAUAGAGAAGCUAGGAGGGCCAUAUUCUGCCCUAGGUCCUGGGACGUAGCUAGCCCUGCUAUAGCACAAUAUUAGUAUUUAAUUUAUUUUCUUGAUUUUAAAACCACACUUCAUCAGUUGCAGAUUUGAGGGCAGUUUACAAAACACUAAACAGAGCAAGUCAUUAAAGCAGUGGAAAUUAUUCUUGCGUUGCAGGAGGAUGGACUAGAUCCCUUGCAACUCUUGCAAGUCUGCUAUUCUCUGAAAAUUGCAACAUCUACAACACAACUGUCAUUAUUCCAUAACCAUGAAGAAAUGCAGGAGCAGUUCAGAAUACCGUAACACCCAUUCCACUAAUAGCAUGGGUGAAAGUAUCUUAACCUGGAAUCGGAUGCCCAGUCAUGUUGCUGUUAUCUGUGCUUCCAGGCAGGGGGAGUUCCACGGUUGGGGCUAUGCUCUAGGGAAAGGCUCCUGUAUUGCCACAAAAUGAGCCACACCUCAACAAGGAGCCCUCACCCGCCCCCCGCUCCAAUCUCAGGAUACAGAUAAGACGCCCAGCACUUGAGCGAAUCAGCCCUUAAGAUUCUGUAGCCCAAGUUGUAAGCAGCUUAUUAAUGUAGAUACUAACAUUGGCCCUGUCUGUGUCACAGUUUGAACACGCAUGUUUCAAAAUUUAGGCUCCUUAUACAGCAUCAUGCAUGUUUUUCCAAGUUUCAUCAGCCAUGGUUGAUUUGCUGCAGGGGGGAAACUCUGCAUCUUAAAAUCCACUGGUUAACUGCUAGAGAUGCAUGAUACCAGAGUUACUGAAAGUGUUCCGGUCAAAACUUUGCCUGGUUUUAGAAGCAGUUUGAGGUUCUCAACUCCAGUAUGGAAGCUGCCUCUGGAGUAAAUGUGCCAUUUUUCUCUCUCAGCAUGUUUCCCUGUUGACAGCAAGCCUGCUAAAACCCCAAGCGGCUUUUUAACAUUUUGGGGCCAUCUAGCACUGCCAAAUCUAGCUGUGUGAUGUCACUGUUACUAAGAAGCAGGGCUAUUUUUCAUACAGAAGCUGUAGUCAAGUGGGGCUGUGAACAGCAGCAAACCUGUAUAAAAAUGGCAAGCUUUUUUGGGGUGUGUGUGUGUUGAUAUGGGAAAUGUUUCUGCCACCUGCAAACCCUUUUCUUCUGCAAAAAAAGUUGGCUGGAGAACACCCGUCUCAGUCCCGAAAUAACUUGUUUAUUAUAUUCAUCUUUAAGAUAAAAUGCUGUAAAAGAUACAGUAUGUGCUCUGCAGCUCUUCAAAUGUUCAUUUUUGCAGUUUUGUUCUACAUUGAAGCAGUGAUACAGGAUUAAGUCUUACAUGUUUAAUUCUCCUUAGCUUUUUGAUGUCUGUCAAUAAAGCUGACAACCCUAACAUUAUUGCCUCAAAAGCGAUGGAAUAAGUGUUAAAUGUUUUGAAAGAAGCCUCCUUAGAAUAUCUCAUUGGAACACCUGAGAACAUAGAAUAAUUUAUAUUCUGCAAAUAUAUUUUAUGGCAAUAAUCCUGAGCUUAUCAGAAGGCACCUUCACACAUCUUUAAUUUCUGUAACCAGUUGUAAUAAUUUCCCUGGGACCAGUCUGAAAAUAGACAUUUCAUUGGUUAAUAUCCCAGCUUUGCAGGUCAUAUUGAUUUAGGUUUUGCUAUCACUUUUUUGUGAUCUGGACAAGCACACAUAAACAUGAAAUUAUAGAUAUUAAAUUUUAUUUCCAUUUUUAUAUUAUGUAACUUUGCUUGGGUUAUUAGUCUCUCCUAUCAAAGAAACUUGAUAUGUCACAUAACUUUUCAGACUUUGUCCAAAGCAAUACAAAUAUUUUCGAAAAGCAGUUUUUUAAAAAGCAAAUUGUAACUUGCUUUGAACUGUUUUGAACUGCUGUUAACUCCCUUUUCUCAGAGUGUUAACUAUUUGUCCUUUUAGUUUAAGUUGCAGUUUUAAUUACAGCUCGGACAGAGCUAAGCAAAUGCCCCCUAUAUGUGAUUUUGAAGGUGCCAGGGAACUCCAGGGACAACCUAGUGGAACAAAGGAGCUGCAGUAUUCCUCAGCAACCCUGCCCAAACUCUGGGGAGCUCCCCAGCCCAAAUGGCUGCAAACUCGUGCAAAAUAUCCUUUCAUGUACACCCUGUUUACCCUCUUUCCAGCCUCUACUUUUUUCUAUCUAUCUAUCUAUCUAUCUAUCUAUCUAUCUAUCUAUCUAUCUAUCUAUCUGGGACGUGGAUGGCGCUGUGGUCUAAAUCACUGAGCCUCUUGGGCUUGCCAAUCAGAAGGUUGGCGGUUUGAAUCCCCACGACAGAGUGAGCUCCCAUUGUUCAGUCACAGCUCCUGCCCACCUAGCUGUUCGAAAGCAUGUCAAGUGCAAGUAGAUAAAUAGGUACUGCUAUAGCGGGAAGGUAAACGGCGUUUCCAUGCGCUGCUCUGGUUCGCCAGAAGCAGCUUAGUCACGCUGGCCACAUGACCUGGAAGCUGUCUUUGGACAAACGGCGGCUCCUUCGGCCUAUAGAGCGAGAUGAGCGCCGCAACCCCACAGUCGUCUGCGACUGGACCUAAUGGUCAGGGGUAACUUUACUUUACACACACAUAUAUAGGAGGCCUUUGUCUUAGGGUAAAGCCAGAAACUAUAAUCUCCAAACGUAAGAUGUGAAUUAGAUGCUGGUACUAUUUGGCCUUUUUUUCCAGGUAGGGAUCCUAUAAUAUAAAUGAUGCAAUUGGAAUUAGCAGUUUGGUUGGAAUUAGCAGAAACCUGCCUGCUGGAUUCUGUGCUGAUUCUUAGGAGGACUUUUGAUUUAUUGCCCCAUCUCUUAAAAACUUCUUGGUGUCCAUCCCAAAUAACUUAAAGCAGCAGUUUUAUUCCUUAGAUGAGGGGAGCUAUUUGCCUCCAUUUCCCUUAAGGCAACCAUUCAUGUAACUUAUGACUUACGGUUCCUCCUCCUUUUUCUUCAUGCUGAACAAGUUCUAUGCAGGCCACUAAUAGCUUUGGUUGCUUUCUCAUUUGCUGUCUCAUCUGAGUGCCAAAAACACUUCCCUGGAAGAACGAGCCUCUCAUUGUGGAAGAAGGAUGUAGCAGAUAGUCUCACAGAUGCUGUGAUGCACGUUUCACCUCGGUGGAUACUGUCCCUUGGAGACGUUCCACGCUGCAUUGUGCCAGGACCCAUUCAGGAUAGUAUAUCAUCAAGUUCAGUGUUCUGACAUUUGGAGGUAUCUCCACUGUUGGUGAUAGCAGAGAACACAGUUAAGUAGCUAGGAGGACAUUGUCAACUGAAACAUAACUCACUUUAUGUAGAUUUUUGUCUAUAACCUACUUUCGGCAUUGUCUCAACACUAUUCCUGUGAUCUUAUGGUAAGUUAUAUGGAAGUAAGCAAGGCCUUUUUUGUUUUGUUUUAAACAGCUGAGCAACAUUCUAGCUGACAUAGUUGUGGAGGAAAAAAAAGAAAUCUCUGGAUGUUUCUACUACAGGAAUUACCAGAGGUGAUGGCUCAGGGCACUAAAUCUCAUGGCACAUGAGAUUUGUUCCCAGCUCAUGGUCUCUGGCUUGGUUUCCCACUACCACUAGUAAUCAACGCCUCUAGCCUUUAAAAAUAAAUUAGAACUUUUCAACAAGAAUACAAAAUGUUAACCCGAUACUGAAUCCCCUGUUUUUCAUAAUGUUAAUUUUAUUUUCGCUCCUUUGGCUUGAAUGAUAUUUCAGUUAAUUUAAUCUUAUUCCAGAUCCCAGUCUGCCUGGGUUGGCUUUCCAUAAUCUCAGCACACUUGUUAACUUACUUCCUAUAUCUGUGAUGCAGCAACCUCUGGAUGCAGAGCAUGACAUUGGCUUGCUUGUUUAGACAUCACACCAAACCAGGGUUAGCAGAAACCUGCACCCAACUCGUGUUCCCCUCUCCACCCUCUUGCUUACCAGGCAAUUGCUUCCCAGUUUAAUUCAGCUAUCACAGCAAACCAUAUUUCAUUUUUUAAAGGUGUAUGUUGUAAAACCUAGGCUUAGACUCUGCUUCUCAGCCCUGCUGUUGAAGGACUGACUUCUCUCAAAUUCUAGAUAUUAUAUACAUGUGAAUUCCUUAUGCCAGUUCCCUUUGUGCACUUGAACAAAAGAGAGUCGAGAGGAGGAAUGCACAUCCUUCAGGAUUUGGGAGCUGCAUUCUGUGUUCUUGACUGUGUGGUUGGAGCAAUGCGUUUUGGCCUGAGAGGUGGGAAGGAAAGCUCAUUCCCAUUCCACUUUAGACAAGAUGCUGUCGGCAGCAGCUUGUUUCCUUUUAAAUCUUUUUCUACUUUCUAUCUUACAAAGACAUUUUUCCCACUGACAUUGCUAUUGGAAACCACAUUAGGCUCUCAUAUUUUUGCUGUUCUCCUGUACUUUAGCCCUACACCUCAAUAAAUAUAAAGACAAUUCCCUUCUCCUUCUCACAGGCCCAGCAGGUAUUCUGAGUUCGUUCUUCUCUUUUUCUUAAUCGUGUUUAGGUCCAUAAAUUCUCCAGAUGCCUCUGUUGUAUUAACCCGUCUAACAUGAUUUUAUGAAUAUUGGUACAGAUGUUCUCCCUAGCUUUUGUCUUUUGAUUUCCUGGAUUCCCCCCGCCCUCCCAGCACCAGCUUUAAUCUCUCUCUGGAGCAGUAAGAUAUUUUCUGUAAGUAGGUUUAUGUACUGGACGCUGAUUCUUCGCAUAACCGAAGGGAAUCCAGAAAAUCUAAUCUUGUCGUUUGAAGCAGGAUCUUAUUCCACUUCAGUUUAAACAUCUGUUUGAGUCUAUAGGCUGUGAUGUUUUAAAGAAAUCUUUCAUUCAGACAAGGCAUAACAUCCUGGCUGGUUAUUGCCUAGUGGAGAUGCGUUAAACUGAAUUUAGACAGAUUUCUUUCUAAAUGGAUGGUGAGCUGUCAGUGAGAAAACUUUUAUUUGGCAUAGAAGAGUGGGGGGGGGGAGCUCUUUCUGUUGGACCCAGGCAACAGUUUGUUGUAGGUUAGUGCCUGAAAAAAUAUAUUGCAGUGUCUACUUGAAGCAGCCGUGCUAACGUACAAGAAAUGAGAGCACGUUAAAGGUUUGUCAGCUAAGACAAAAAAAUGGAAUGGCAAUAACUAGAAUUCCUCUUUAAUGAAUAUCCAAAAGAUGAAGGGUGAGACUGAUUAGGGUCCAGAAAUUUGGCCCUUAGAGGUAUUUUACUUUUGAAUCUCGUGGUCAGUUGCUGCAUAUUUGCACUGCGCCUCUUAUAGGAACAUAGGAAGCUGCCUUAUAUCAAGUCAAACCAUUGGGCCCUGUAGCUCAAUAUUGUCUGCGUUGGCUGGCAGCAGCUCUCCAGGGUUUCAUAAAGGAGGGGCCUUUCCCUGCCGUACCUGCCGAUGCUAGGGAUUGAACCAGGGACCUUCUGCAUGCAAAAAGCCGUUGCCCUAACACUGAGCUCUGGGUCUUUCCCCUUCUUGUGUGCUAGGUCCUUGUCUGUAUUAAAGUAGCUUCAUCUACAUUUUCAAGAAUUCUUUAUUGUAGUCCUGUAAGGAAGGUCAGUAUUAUCAACCCUAUAGUGCAGAUAGGCAAGGUGGCUGCUUGCCCAGUGAACUAAUGGUAGAGCCAGGUGUGGUUUUUUAAACUAUGAAUGUCCCGGUUGAGAGCUUGCUGACCUACACACCCAGUCCUGUGCAUGCUUACCCAAAAGUCCAGGUAUUUUUCUCUCAUUAGUAGUGUUUAUGGUUUCCCUCUGCCCAGCCCACUGAUUCCUAUAUGACGUGGGCACAGAAUUCCGGUCAGGGAAAUGAGUGUUUGGCUGCCUUGAUUCCAGGCUUUUGCGGAAGGCCUAUAAAGUGCUUUGCUGCUUUUGCUUUCUGUAAAGAGCGAGGACCCCCCCCCAAUGUUUCUGGGGGUUUUUUUGGGAGGGGGGAACCAAUGCAGAGACAAAGAAAACAGUUCUGUCUCCCCUCACAUUGUCUGUAUUUUACGAGCACUGGAGGAGUCGGGUGGGAUCUUUGUGCUGGGCAAGAGCAGCAGAAGCCCGGGGAAUUAUGCACCCUGUGCACUCAAAAUAAGAUCAUUCAUAGCAAUGGGCUUAAGCUCUAGGAAGGCUGACUUUGGUUGAACAGUGGAGAGCUUGUGCUGUGUGCCACACGUUUCCCUUCGGCUGCAUCUUGGCAGUUGAAUUUCCUUUGUGCGUUCAGCAGCCUCUGUGCAGUUGUCUGGUUGUGAUAACUUGUCUGUUUUUCUGGCAACGCCGGCGUGCCUUUCAGCCAGAGAUGUUCUGGCCUGUUAGACUGGGGAACCAGCAUGUGGUUUUGCUUGUUGUGCGCCACUUUUGCCAAAUCAAAGCACAUUUAUAGAAUAAAACGCAAAUUACGAAGUGCAGACUAGGAUAACAGAAGCUGAACAGAUUUCACAGCAUCACUCUUUUCAGAGACAAACUUUUAAAGUAGUUCUAAUCUUAAGAAAUCCCUUCUCUCCGCCCCCACCCCCAGAAGCCUCAUUUGGGAAUGAUUCCUCUUUUAAAAGCAAUGUGUGUACCCUACAGUAAUGCACAAAUGCUUUCUUUAGUGGAUUGUUUAUUUAUUUAUUGCAUUUAUGUACCUUUAGUGGCUUAUCAGAGGACAUUAUCUUCUCAUGGUUGACAUGAUUUGUGGCCAGCAGUGAUGUGCUUUUUUUUUAUCACUGCACAUUUCUUAACAAAUAGCAUAGAAUAAUAUAAUCUAGAAGCCCAUUUGUCAUUCUAAUGGAAUUAAGGCUGCAAUCCAGCAUAACUAUAUCUGCUUAAACCCCAGUGAACUCGGCGGGACUAUGGGCUUGUAUUGAAGAUCAAGCACUAAAACCUUGGCUUGGCUGCUGCCACACUGCCUCUUUCUGUAAGGGCUUCGCUAGCAGUGCCACAUUACAGAUUUUUCAGUCUGGUGCAAAUUAAUAUGAAGGCACAGACUUUUCUUCUGUUGGUCUUGAUCUCAGGUCAUUUUUGUGAAAGGUUGAUUUACAAUUGCUAAAACUUUAACCCUGGAGUGACCCAAAUCUCACCACCCCUGGCCAUUGGCUAUGUUAGCUACGGUAGGGCUAAUGGAAUCCAACCACAUACAGAGGUUCACAAGUUCCCCACUCCUGCUUUAACCUGACGGAAAACAGAUGGCCGAGAUCGGGAGGGGGACGGGGACUUGCAAAUCCUAUGACAAAAUCUGAAUUUUUCAAAAGACAAUAGCCAACACUUACUGCAGCCGGAGUUCUGCUAUUGAAAGGUUUGGACACGAGAUGGCAGCAUCAUACAGUGUGUGCUCUGCCCAUCCCAAUAGAUACGAGAGAUAUUUCUUUCUCUAGAUGUGUUUUCGGUCGCCAGGAAAAAUUGGAAAGAUGAAUCCAGGUCCUGGGAGGAGCAGGGGCUUCACCCUACUUCAUGAAAUGGAUAUUGUGUUUGAAUAUACAGGCGCACACACCUGUUUCACGCUGGGAAACAUUUUUCUUCUAAGCGGAACCUUUUUAUUCUGGGCCAGAGAGGGCUGAGCUCUCCUGUUUUGCGUUUUUGUUUGUGAGGGUUCAUCUGCAGCCCGGACUGCAAAUCUCUCAUCUCUUUUCCCUCCUGUACCCACAGUACAAAAUGUCAUUUGGAGGGGGAGAAAAAUUAGUCCUAAUGUAGCGACAAAACCGUUGCCUGGAGAGUGUGCCUGCUGAGAGGCAGAGACAAUUUGAAAACAGUAAUAAGUUUCUCUUGAUAUGAUUAUCUUUCCUGUGCUUUAAAGGGAGAGAAUGGAGAGAACACUGUUUGUUCCUAAUGGGAAUGCCCUUGAAAGAACAAGUAGGGGAAAUCAGGGGAUGAGGAGAGGAAAAAGAAUGAUAAAAUAUAUAGUGUGCGGUUAAGUUUUCAGAUGUGCAGAGCAGAAUCAGCUCCAGCUUGGGCUGAAAGAAUUAGGGCUUUAUAGCCAGCUUGGGGUGUUGCUAGGUCCAUACCAUGUUUCGGUGGGUGCAGAAGCUACCCUGGGGUAGGUGGUGUUAAGCAUCACUCAAUAAAAUGUUGAGCUGAGUCUGUCUUUUCCCUUAGCUGGUUGCCAAAAGACUGUACUGUUCGACCUGCUGCUCAAUGUAUCCGUCACUACGCUGUGAAUAGUCACCACCUUCCUUUGCAAUGUUGUGCAUAUAUAUGGAUAUGUGUGUGUGCGUGCGCGCACAAUACAAUAAAAAAGGUGGCAGCUGGAACAAGGACACCAAUAGCAAUUGUAAACUACAGAGGGAGGAGUGCAGGGCACAAUUGUGAUGGAAGAACUUAAAAAGAGAAGAAGCCCGCUUGCUUUUGGACUCUUUUGUUGCUGUGUGUCCAACAAUGAACAAUACUAGAUAGAAAGGCAACAGGUGUUGUCUACCUGUUGCAUUGUACAGGGAGCAAAUUUGUUCCCUUGAGGCUUAGGUUCCUGGUUUGGAGAAGCUGAGAGGGAAGUGUCACAACACAUGUCUAGAUACUACUGGAGUCAAUGGUCAUGUUGUAUCCUGACACCUGUGACAUGGCAAAAUGUUGUUGUGUGGCUCUGGAAGUGGAUUUUAGGUUGCUAGGUAGAAGGUUGAGAGCUGAAAUGCUACUUGUUUCGUGUGCAGGACUAGCUAGGCAGAUACAGUUGAGUAGUCUCACUGUAUGGGUGAGAUCAUGGUUUGGAUUUGUUAGGCACUGGGGAACAUUUUGGGGACAAGCUGGGCCUGUAGAAGAGGCACAGGCUCCAUUGGAGCCGGGAUGUAACUAGACUGUUCAGACUUAAAAUCAGAAAGGUGGCAGAGCAGCUUUUAAACUGACUGCUCAGGGAAAGCUGAGAGCACCAUGGAGCAUCAGGUUUGGAGCAGAUAACAACCCAGGGAUGUGAGAGAGAAUAUUUAUGGUGGUCCAACUGGGGGGGAGGAGGGGUAGAAGUUAGCACUGAGUAUACAGGGGCUUUCAGUAGCAAUUCAAAGGGGCCGUAGCACUGUAGUGCCGCAUGUCCAUGCCAAAGACAUUUGGAGAGAGAAAGAUUGUAUAGGUGUUUAUAUGCUAAUGCUAGAAACCUGCAAGCCAAGAUGGGCAAGCUGCAGUGCUUAGAGAGCACAGAUACCUAUGUGGGCAUAAUUGGAACCUGGUGGACUGAGCCAGUGGGACAUGUUUAUCUCGGGAUACAUACUCUGUAGGAAAAACAGGGAUGGUGUACGAGGGGUGGUGUUGCAUUGAAUGUCAAAAAGGGCACAGAGUCCAGCAAUCUAGAAACCCCCAAAGGGACAGUCUCCACCACAGAAUCGUGGGUAGUGAAUUACUUAGUUAUUUAAUAAUGCAGUACUGAGGACCUGACCAAAAUACCCAGGGAGAUUGUGAUAUGGAAAAUGAGAUAAAGGAGAGGCAUCUAAAACAUGCAGUAAUAAGUGACUUCAACUACCCUGAGAUAGACGUGAGUGCAUGUUCCAUUCAUGAGAAAGAGCUGAGAUCCCUGCCUUGCAGGGGGUUGGGCUAGAUGAUCCUCAGGGUCCCUUCCAACUCUACAGUUCUAUGUUUCUUUGAUUCCAGAUGUCCUUAAUGACAGUGCCAUAAAACCGUUGGUCAUAGAACCACAAGCAGAGGGCUAUCAGCCCUGGGGUAAAUCUUAAGUGGUGCCCAGGACCUAGCAUGAGAUGCAAGUGUUGUUGGAGCAAUUGGGAACAGUGUUUCAUAGUGGUACCAAAUCCAACAUAUAUGCACUUGCUAAGAAGAUCCAACAUGGUCACAUUUGACUUCAAAAGAAGAGGCUUUCCUAAACUGAGGGGAUUGGUAAAAAUGAAGUUGAAAGGCAAAGUCAUGAGGCACACCCAGGCCAAGAAGCCCCAUGAGAAGAAAGAAGGGGUUUCUAUAUAAAAUAUAUAUUAGAAUUUUAAAAUUGUAAACCAUUUUGGUGCCCUGGCAGAAGGAUGGUUUAUAAAUGCAGUAAAUAAAUAGGUUUAUGUUAAUGUGGUUAAUGAGCAGAAAAGAUGCUUCAAUUUGUUAGGCAGCUGUGGACAGGAUCUUAAGGCCUUGACAGUUGCAUGUGGUGGCAGCCUCCUAGGGAAACGGAAUCAAAGUGGGCUUUAAUCGUUAGAAGCAGCUCUUUGGAUUGGGCCUGCAAACAGAGCCAGUGCAGCUGGCAUAACAUGGCCAAACUGCCCAGUUCCAGUUAAUAAUUUUGGGUGCUCUGCUCUUCACCAACUGCAGUUUCCAGACCAUUUUAAUAGGCAGCCCCAUGUACAAAACAUUGCAAUAAGGUUUCUGUUGACUUUUUUAUCUACCCAGGACGCCAUCUAAAACCAGUCUACAGCAGUGAUGGCCAAACGUGGCCCUCUAGCUGUUUUGGGACUACAAUUUCCAUCAUCCCUGACCACUGGUCCUGUUAGCUAGGGAUGGUGAGAGUUGUAGUCCCAAAACAGCUGGAGGGCCAAGUUUGGCCAUCACUGGUCUACAGCUUUGUGAAUAUCAAAACUACAUGGUUUACUUCUGCUUACCACCAACUAUAGAAUCUUGGUGUUUCGCCUAUGUUGAAGAGUGGGUCUAGGCAACAGCUGGAUAUUAUAUUUCAAGAAUGGGGAACCAACCAUUGUUCACCCCAGAAUUCCUUGGUGUGGCCUGAAACCUGCAUAGUGGAGCCUCAUUGGAAUGUGUGCUAGCUUCCAUCUGCGUUCCAUCUUAGGGCUGUGACUCAGUGCAGACUUCUACACCAGCCAACUCCCCUCCCUUUGAGACGAAGAGUUGUGGAGGUCUCAAAAGCUUCCAGUUAUUUAUGACAUUUUGGUUCUCCAUAAGCAGUAUUCGAGUUUUUCUUACUCGCCAACAUGGCUUAGAAUCCUGGAUUUUUGCAGUACCAAAUGGAUUCAUAAUUUCAAACUGGGGAUCCUUAAAAUAGCUUAGCCAUGAUGGUUCAAGGGAUAAACAGCAAUACAGCUUUCCUGUUUCUUUGUGUGAGGCAGGUGAAGGCAUCGCAACCCCCUGUGCUGACUGUCCCUCUGCUAAUUAGCUGAUGCUUUGACAUUUGAGGCUUUAUCAACUGUGUUAGCAUCAUAAAUUUCUGUCCCUUUUGAUUUAAAAUAUGAAUCGAGCUUUUGACUUUGUUCCCACUGGAGAAGGGGCUGCCUGCCUCCUGGAAUGAGACUAAAGCAGAGUUGAAGGAGACUGAAGGUACAGAUGCAAGCAUCCCUUCCCCCACCAGCCAAUAAAAGAGAGAAUAAUUUCAGAUAAGCUCAGCAAUUUUGAGGCAUUUCUUUGUUUGUACUGUAUAUUCCCAGUGCUUCAGCCAUCACUACUGUCAGGGAUGUGCUGUAAUGGUAGGUAAUAAAUGCCCUGAAAUUACUGAGAUUAUCUCUGGGCUCCUUUUAUAACUUAUAUCUUUUUUUUUUUUUGGUAUGGGUUUUUUACAUGAAACCUCUCUUGACUAGCGAGUCCCUGGCAAAUCCCUGGGUAUCUCGCAUGGUCUAUUGCAUUAGAGCAAGUCUGAUGUAUUAUUCAAGCAAAUCACUAAUAAAAGAUUUAAACCUUUCCCUAUUUUUUUUUCCAGGCAUAGUGGCUUCUUAUUAGAUUGCCAACUCUAAUGCAAACAAUACUGUGUUGUCCUUCUGUCCUCCAUUUGUAACAGGGGAGGCAAAGACUUGUGCUCAGAUCUCUUGAGUGAGGGAGAAGGGGGUGGGCGGGCAGAAUCGCUGUCAUCCUGAGUAUUUGCCCAGGGGACCAGAAAGUGUGCGAAAGCAUCACAGGGUGGGGAUUAGUAGCUCCUCAAGUUUGAGAGGGUGUGAGACUGCCGGCUUCCCUUGCAUAGAGAAGGAGGCUCUUGAGUUGCUGCCUUAGGGGCACAAACAAUUCAAUGACCCCUUGAUGGUGCCUUCAUAGCUGGCUUUUCCCAUAGGAUAUGCAAGUUGCCCGCUGAGCAUCAGAUGCCUUUCUUGGAUGCUAAAUGCAGAACUUAAGGCAUCUGUUGAGAUUUGACUCAAUUACAGCUCUUUUCAAUCAAGAAUCCUUAAUUUAAAUCCAAAUGAAGGAAGUCACGCAAACCUUUCUCUGGAAGACAUUUUUUCCCUUGUUUAAAAAAAGAACAUCUCCUGGUGACUUGGAUUUUCUUUCAAGCUUUGACUUUGCAUGUAACUUCAAAAUUAUUUCCCCCCACGUAUUUAAAAACUUAAAAAAAGAAAAAGCUAGGUACCCAAAUUCUGUGGAAAGAAAACCCCAGUUCUGCAACCUGUAUAAAUUGAGGAGGCAUGCAGAAUUUCCCCCUUAAUUUGCAUAACUUAUUCUGCUUCUGUUGGUCUUGGGGUGGGCAGCACAGUUAUGGCACAGUACCAUGUGCCUGAUACCAGAUCCACUCUUGUACCUGAAGUUAAAGUAGUACUCAGGUGUCUGCUCUGCCCAGCUGGGGAAGGAGGCACUGCCAGGCUGGACAAAUAGCUAAUCCCUCCUGAAAGGGGAUGUGCAGCAACAUCUUUACUGUGGUACCCUGGUUCUCGAACUUAAUCCGUUCCAGGAGUCCAUUCGACUCCCGAAACGGUUUGAAAACCAAGGUGCGGCUUCCGAUUGGCUGCAGGAGCUUUCUGCACUUAAGCGGAAGCCGCGCCGGACGUUUGGCUUCCCAAAAACAUUCGCAAACCAGAACACAUCCAGGUUUCCGGUGUUCCGGAGCCAAAUUGUUCGACAACUAAUCCGUUUGAGAACCAAGGUACCACUGUACUAGGUGAACGCUAUCCUGAGUGAACUUUAGGGCUUUUAGUUAGCUCAGGCUGGGCUUUUUCUUUGAACUCACACAAUCUUUUGGAACAUUUUAGUUUUAGGCAACUCUAACAAGUUGUGUCAAUUGUCAUUGGGCUGCAGUAGAGAAGGCUGUCCCUCCUACCUAGCAAGGGCAUAAGAACUGCCUUCCAGAGUAAGGUUCGAGCAUUUCCUUUUCAAGAGCAAUUAGCAGCCAGAUGUUUUUGCAAGUCCACAAGCAAGGGCACCUAGAAACUGACUAUCCCCUCCCAUCCAGGGUUCUUGAUAAGGAGGGGUUGUGACAGAUCAAACAGGAAGAACGUUUAGCUGAAGAUGCAGGGACCAUUGAGAUAGGUCCCCUUGCCCAUAGUGUCAGGGCAUUCCUUCAACAAAGUUGGUUAGUCCCUCAAAUUAGAAGAUGGUUUGGAAGUUGGCUAGCUUGUCUACCUGAAAACAAUAAGAAUCAGAAGCGGAGGGACUGUUGCCCUUAUUUAUCAAUCCCAAGGAAAACUAGAAGUUUUAAAACUGCCUGUGUCUUUGCCUUAAUAUUUGGCUAAUGAUUGCUCGCCUGCGGUGUCUGAAAUGAGGUUUGAUUAACCUUAUUAGCUGGAGAAAGAAAAUGGCUUUAUGGAGGACCAUGUGUAGGUGUAUCUGGGCUUCCUCACACAAUUCAAAGCUCCUUUUGUGUUGCCUGCAGAAAGAGCAGUUAAUCUUCAUGCAAGGCACAGUUGGGUUUCUUUAUAAAAUACUUUAAAAAUAAAAAUAAAAAAGGAGCUUUUAAGACUAUCAGCUACAUUUGCAAUUACCUCUGGCUGACCAGCUUGAUAGAGCUAAGCAACAGGGAAAGAAGAAUUCUCCAGCUUGGAAAAUUGCUGAGCGGGAGAACAGGUGUGAAAAUGUUCUGCUGGAUGGGUUUGGUAAGAUCCACACAACUUUGGCACCCGGAAAGGUAAGCUGCAAGGGAAGCCAAGAGAAGUAUGUUGGUGAACCAUUGGCGAAAACUGCACAAAGUGUGUGCUUGGAUUUUUUGGGGGGGGGGAGAAGAAGAGGGAGAAGCUGAAUCCUUUUUCCUCCCUGGUUCUGUACAGCCUUAUCAGUGUCCAAUGAAUAUUGUUCUGCAAGCAUAUUUCUUAUUUCAUGCUUCAUUUUCUCUUCUCCCAGAGCAAGAGGUGCAAUAAAGCACUUUGCCUUAUAAGCACCUGGGGAUAUGGUGUCAAAAGGAAUAUUUGCUUUUGCCGUAGCUAUAGAAAAAAAAAAACCCUGAGCUUAACUAAGGUAUAUUCUCUCUCUUUUUUUAUCCUAACCUGUUUGUGAUGAAGGAGUGUAAAAUAAGAGAACAGUAAAAAUAAAAGAAGAAGAAAAAGCUGAUGUGUAACACACAAACACCCACCCACACCCACGUGUUUUUUUUAAUUCAUUUUUUUACACUUCUCCAUGGAUAGAUGGAUGGGGCUUUUUUUGGGGGGGGGGAGUCUCUGUCCAGUCUCAACUUGAGAGGAGACAUGAGGAAAUGAAGAAGAAGAAGAAGAAGAAGAAGAAGAAGAAGAAGAAGAAGAAGAAGAAGAAGAAGAAGAAGAAGAAGAGAUAAGAGAAGCUAAAGUAACAAGGGAAGAAUAUAUUCAGAUGCAAUUAAUAAGUACUUAGGGCUAGUUUCAACAGGGCAUGUGGGUUGCUGCAGCCACUUUGGAAAAAUCCCCACAGGAGUCACUGGCAAGAUUGGCAUGGGCCAUGGCUGUGAACUUUUAACAUGCCACGGUGCAUAAGUCGCCUCAAUGAAUCCUUUGGUCCAUUCACAGGCUCUGCCUUCAUGUUUUCCAACACCUCUCUGCACCCAUGAAGGCCUAUAAUUAUUCUAACCAAUCUAAUUCUAAUUCUUACGGCACCUUAAAGAUUAAACAAUUUAUUAUGGCAUAAACUUUUGUGGACACAAGCCCACUACAUGAGAUGCAGCUCAAUGGGCAGGAUUCAGGUAAUGAAUCCUGCCAGCAGGAGUCUAUGCAAGGACUCUGAAUCAUAGAAUUGUGGAGCUGGAAGGGACCCAAAGGGAAAUCUAAUCUAGCCCACUGCAAUGCAACUUCUACUAGCGCGGUUCCCCCAUGUCCUCACACUGUGUUCCCCAAAAUUUGCACGGGGGUCAGGAAAAGCCCCAGAACAGUGCAUGGAGGAAGGAGAGUGGGAAUGGCUCUGACUGCAAAGCUGGAAUGCUUGUGCUGAUGGAAUGAUUGCCAUAGUGUUAUGUUGAAUUCCGAUCGUUGAUUAUUUCUGCUACUAGAGACUAACAUGGAAACCCCUCUGGGGGUAGAAACAGAAGAAAACAUGAAUCUGAGAUUUUGAGGAUUCUGUACCAGUUGUACAAAUCCAGUUAAUUUAUUUGUCUCCCUAACUUUUGCAACUUUAUUGUUUUCACCAUCCUGAAAGUCUUCGAUUGGGCAAGUAAUAAAGUUAAAAAGAAAUUCAUUGUCUACACCUCCUCCUAUUCAUAGAUUUCAUUGAUGUUGGCAUCUGAGCAGUUUCUUUCUGCCAAAGAAAGAAGCCAGCAUCCUAUUUUUAAAAAGUGUCCCGUCUUUGGCAAUGAGAACAUCACAUUACUACAACUACUGAUGGGGUGUGCAACAUACAUUACAUAUUUUUUGUGUUUUAUAUUGUAAAACGCCCAAUGUUCCUCAAAUGAAGGGCAGUAUAGAAAAUAGAUAGAUAAGAUAGAUAGAUAGAUUAAUUCAUUUUCCCAAUGCUUUAUUUUUUCCAUGAAGAUUUUUUUGUCCCCGUUUUGUGAGUUCAUUAGAAACAAUGGAUGGGUGCCAAUUGCAAGUACAAUACUGGGCAAGCUUGGCAGUUUCAGCAUUUUUAGCUUUGUUUGCUAAAUACAAGUAAAAUAAACAUGCCAAAUUAGAUCACUCUCCAGGGCAUCAGAACAUUUUAUAAUGCAAAUUAGCUGAUGCAAACUACCUAGAAAAUUUCGGGGGCGGGAGGAUCUGAUUCAGUAUUCUCUGUACUGGCCCGUGCCAAAGCAACCUCCUCCACCUGCAAAAGUACUUCUUACUCCUAUUCCAUUGCUUGCCUGGUGGGUAAAAAUGCAACAAAAUGGUGUAGAGGGCCAGUUUCUAUUCUAGUGUGCUGCACCCUAGUUUACUGAAUAAGCUACAGUGCUGUACAUUUCCUUUCGCAUAACCCCAAGAUGAAUUUUGAUUGCAUUUGGAAAGGUCAGUGUUUGCACUUAAGCCUUGCCUUGAGUAUCCUUCAGACUCCAUACAGUUGGACUGGAGGAAAAUAAAAUCCAAGUGAAUGGUGGUUUUCAGAGCGCAAAUAUUUGCAAACGGGUUUCCUCAGCUUGGGAAGUUUGCUUAUGCUUACAGACUUACACAGAUCCCAUCAGUAAGAAGUGAAAAUUAACACAUUCCCCCAUGAAGCUGUAUUUGCCAAGGAAAAGUGGAAGAAGCUAAUAUGUGGUUUGUUCCCUUAUGGGAAAGGGAAUAGGGUGUAUCCGAGUUCCACCUCUUUGGCACAAAUGGGUAUGGUGUUGAGAUGCUCCAGAACUUCCUAUGUCAGGGGUGUGGAACCAGAGGCUCUCAUGAUGUUGGAUUCCAAAACCCAUCAGCACCAGCUGGCAUGGCCGAUGGUGCCGGGUUGAUGGGAGGCAAGGUAUGGCAACAUCUGUAGGGUCCCCCAUCUUUGCUUUAAAUAAAACUGUAGAAUAUGUGCUCUGAAUCUUUGCUCUGCCUUUGUGACACUCUAGGAAAGCUCAAACUAGUUGUCUGUUGGGCCAGAGAGGCUUGCUGUGACAUAGAUUGAAAACUCCUGUAUUUUAGGUAAGGAUGCCACGGUGGCAAAGGGAGCACAUUGAUGCUUACCAUUUCUUUCCCUUUUAAAAAGAAGGACCACUUCGCUCAGCAGCUCUGCAGGGAACAGGCUGGUGGUGUGACCCUGUACUCACUGUAGGAGCUGUUUGACAAAGAGAUAAGCUGGUUGGGAAAAUGACAGCAUCUGCUGUGUUCCUUGGGGUUUUUAAAGGACACAUGGAGAACAUUUGCCCAUGGUUGCAUUAGGUGCUAUAAAUCCAUCUCAGGGUAGAAAAGGAGAUCUCCCCUUGCUUUCAGACUGUGACUCAAGGAACCCAGGUGUUCCUCAAAGAGUUCAUCAGUCAUUAACAGAUUUCUUUGAAAAAUGGCACAGCUUCUGGGGAUGUUCUAGAGCAGGUAUUUCCAACUUUUUCAGACCCAGGACCCACUUUUAAUCCAAACAUGCGUUUGGGGACCUCUUAACCUUUUACCAUAUAUUUGCAUGGUGGUAGUGCUUCUGUUGGAAGACACCUUGGGUUAGGCUGUGACCUGCUAUAGGUCCUGACCCACCACUAGGAGACCUGUGUUGUAGAGCACACAUGUAUUUCGUGCAAGGCAGCAGCGAAGCAGGUUUUGGCUUGCUCCCCAUUGUGUGCUCUGUAAAACAUGCCCCAGAAAUACUCUGAGAUUUGUGGGGUUUUCACUAAGGCAGAUAAGCAGUACGGGGAUGAGGAGCGCGGGGGGGGGGGGAAUUACACAGAAAAUGUUCUCAGUGUUGGCAUUUGAAAAUCAUUGGGCUACAGAAGAGCCCUCUUCAAUUAGAGUAGAAAUCAACCUCAUCCAGCUUUCUUUUUUCCAUAGUGGCCAACCACUAUGUUAACAUGGGUCAGGCAAGAUCCUAUGAUUUGGGUCGUAACAGCUCCUUCAGUUCUGGGAUUUGCUUCUGCUUGGUUUUCAUUCUGGUAGGCACUGUGGUCGAAAGCAGUUCGAAAGCAUGCCAGUGCAAGUAGAUAAAUAGGUACCGCUUUGGCGGGAAGGUAAAUGGUUCGCCAGAAGUGGCCUAGUCAUGCUGGCCACAUGACCCAGAAGCUGUCUUUGGACAAACACCGGCUCCCUCGGCCUAUAGAGCGAUAUGAGCGCGCAACCCCAGAGUCGUCCGCGACUGGACCUAACGGUCAGUGGUACCAUUACCUUUAAUAUAGUUUUGGAUGUGGCAAUCAGUUUGUCAUUUCCCUUCCACCUGAUUUCCAGUCCAGCAAAGCCUAGAUAGCGAACAGCCAUACUCUUGAUUCUGCAAGUGGAAUGCAGAGUUUCCUCUUUGUGCUGGAAGGUACAGAAAACCGCAUGAGAAAGGGCUCGCAGCUCUUGUCGAGGGACCCCCAUUUUGGCUCAAAGACUUCCUCGCGUUGCCCCAUCUCCAGUUUGCAAGUGAGGCUUUGCUUCACGUUUGUGUUCUCAGCCCUCCUGGCGAAGAUGGCCUCUGCUUUGUAAAUUGCUGUGCUGCCGGCUUUUGUCUAAGCUACAGUUGGAGAGCCUGCAGAAGCUUAGAAAGGUCUUGGCACUCUCAUUCAUUAUUGCGGAAUGUGGAUUUGAGGGCACGCCUGUGUCGGUUUCGUUUCAACUCCCAACGCUUUUUGCGGGAAGCUUGGCCAAAGCGAGCUCUCGCCUUAAUGUCAUUCAAAAGCCUCAUAGUAAACACAUCAUGUGGUUAACCUUUAAUGCGGAGUAACAUUUAAAAGAAAGAGUUUGCAUCUUUAACUGCUAAAUUACUACAUAAAUAUUUAGGUUAGGUGCAAAUAGGAAUGCAGCAUUAUUUAUGGGCCCACGUUUCCUUGGCAUUUUCAGAGGCACGCUCAUUGUGCUCCUAAACAAAUGCAGUGGAAAGAGGUGCCUUAGGAAAAUGGCCUGCUGAUUCCAGAGCUUUGCAAACCUACAGAGAGAGAGAGUUGAGCCUUUUUCUGCCUUCCUUGCUCAGUCUCUUAUUUUGCAGUUCUACUAAGAUAACUUAAAAUAGACACAUAUGAAGCUGCGUACUGUGCUUCUUCUCAUUUGCACUUGCAGGUCACUUUCCACUUGUUGGCACCAAAUCAUAGUGCCUAUUGGGAUGUUUUUAAAUCUCCAUUUGAGAUGCUUUUGCCCGUAGCCUGUGCCAUUCAUUGUGGUUUCUCUGUGUUGUAUAGAAAGAGAAGGAGAAAGCAGUCAGUUGCACUAAAUGUCAUUGAAAUCUGAGAAGCUCUUGUGUUGACUUGAACUUUGCUCUCACCUACCUCCUUCACCCAUUCUGCUUCACCCCAGAUCUCCAAAGCUAUUUCUACUCCUUCCAACCUCCAGCUAGUUGUCUUUGUUUUGAUUUUUGAUUUUCUGUUUUUUAUAUUGCAAUUUUAUGUUAUAAACCACCCUGAGAUCUAUAGGCAUAGGGUGGUAUACAAAUGUAAUAAAUAACAGUAGUAAUAAUAAUUAAACAGACCAGCAGAAGCCCUGGUGAUUUAUCUGUUGAUGGGCACCCAUUUCAGAUUGCUAAUGGGUUGGUGAUCCUUCAUCCCUCCCUAUAACAUGAAACUACUUUUUACAUGAAUGUCAGGUGAAAGCUAGUCUAGAACCUUCUUUGUGGCACCCUAGUUCUGUAGGUAUAAACAGCAUUUUAUUUGUGAGAGCAUUUAGACAUUUGACCCUUUAGCCUGGAGAAGGGGGGCUGGUUCAGGGUUUAAACAUAUGCUUUAUGCCUAUGCCAUGAUUACAGGCCCAAGAGACUCUUUCUCUUGAAGUUGUAGAAUCGUGACCACCCUAGUACAUAGAUUAAUUGACCGUCAGUUCAGAAAAGACAAAAGUAAGUUUCUUGUUCUGCAUCACUCAGUUACUACGCAUGUUGGCCAAAUAGAACCACCACCUUCAGAGACAUUUUGUAUGCCGGUUGUUUAGGACAAAGUGUGGUGCACAACUAUUGCCUUCAGUCCGUGCUUGUUGGAAAUGGACGUCUGGCCUUUGUUGAGAAGUGUGUGCCGGGUUAGAUGAGCUUGAUAUGACCUGGCAGGCCUCUUCAUUAGCCUUGCUUUUGUCAAGGACUCUGCAUACUGGGCUCAGUGUCUUCCCAAACCCAUUAUGGUAUGGAAUUGACCACUCUGGAGUAAGUUGUUUGAACACCCUGACCUUAGAAGGCUCCCGACGGCAGAGAACUCCUUAUCUCGCUUUUUUCCUUUUUUUUUAAUUCACCAGCUUGUAAAUGUUAAAACUAAACAAAGCUGGAAACCAGAAGAUGACUUGGGAUUGCGGUGCUAAUGGUUCUGCCUCUUCCUUUCUCAACCUGCUAUAACUCGGAGACAGGAACCCUUGUGAGACCGAGGAAAGCUGCUGUCGUCCGUCUUCAGGUUUCUCUCUACAGAGAAGUAAGUGUUCCUCCAAAGCGACGUCUGACAGCCUGAGUUAUAGGGAACAUUUCAGCGUCUACUCUUUGUACGGAAGAAGGCAAUUUACUCGUAGCAGCAGCAGCAGCAGCAGCAGCAGCAGCAGCAGCAGCAGCAGCAGCAGCAGCAGCCUCUUCUUCCUCCGCCUCCACACCCUCUUUUCAUGCAGUGUUACUUGAGAAGUUGGCAUUGUAAAUGAUGUAGCAAUGUGCAUGUAUUAAUGAGGGGUAUAAUAGGCUUCGGCAGAACUGGCCGAUAAGAUGUGUUAAUCUUGUAUAUUAAAUAGUCCUACAACAAUGAACCUUAUAAUGAGGUUGUUAUUAAAUCUUUUCUUUGCUGGCUUUGAUUCAGGACAACUGGCGUUCUUUGGUUUGGCACAUUCUUAAGGCUGGGUUUUUUCAGAGGCGGAAGUAGGGAAAUGGCCUUAACUAGGUUUGGCACAUGGGAUGGUAAUGUGAGGCUUUUCUCUCUCUGUGCAUUCGCUGUCUUGUUGGCAGCGAGUGCUAGCGCCCCCCCUCCCCUCACAGAGGAUUUGUCAGUAUGACCUCGACUCCCGUCUCAGCGCUAUGGCUCUCUCCCUACCCUCCCAACCCCAUCACAAGCGCUGUAAACAGAUUGUGUUCUAAUAAGGUUAGAAAAGCUGUCAAAAUAGCCGCUGUUUUGAAAGAGGAAAUUGCAGCAUACUCAAGCGAAUGCCGUGCUGGAUGGUUCUAAUGAGAGCAGUCCGGAGACAGUUAGCUUUGUGGUACCUCUGAAAGGGCAGGACUUAUUGGCUUGUAUGGGCACCCUUGUUUAGCAGCAGCUGUGCUCUGCACCGUACCAGUGGCUGAUUUGUCUCAAUCUGAAAGACUUUUCGAGGCGCAGGGCUUAGAAAUGAGGCAAUAACAUCAACCUAAUGGAAAAUGUGCCCAGAUUUAUUUAUUUAUUUUGGUGUGUGUGUGCGCGCACAUACGCACACAUACAGGGAGUAAGUGUUUGUAAGAGACUGUCUAAUAUAACCAUCCUUUCUAAGGCUUACUGUAGUGUCCUGUUUGGCUUCUCUAGAGUGUGGCUUGGCUUUCUUCCUCCACGCUCAUUUCUGCAGCCCAUACUGUGUUCUGGUGAGGGCCAAGGGCACAUUGUUCAGCACUGCUGCAGAAGUUCUGUCCCGUACUUGGAUGCUAGACCACUUAGGAACCCUGUAUACACAUCUUUCACCUUCCUGGAGAGAAGGUGGAAUCUGAAUGUCAUAAUUGGUUGCACAAAAAUGUGAAUAAGCUGGUGGUUGGCUGAUGUUCUUUAGUGAGGGAAGAGCCCUGAUUUAAUUGAUGGGCUCCUUUCCUCAUUUUUCAGCUUGCAGUUUUUGUCGAAUCGCAUUAGCGGAUGUGACUUCAAGGCAGUCUCUUGCGAGAAGAUGCAACUGAAUGCAAGAUGGUGGGCGGGUUAGGCAGCAAGCUUAAGGUGAAGGAUUCUUACCCAUGCCUCCCUAUUUCUAAGGCGAGGGUUUUGAUUAUCAUAGCUUCAUACAUUACAUCGAAAUCAUCUUUGGCAAACGUCUAUCAAAAUUCUCUUUAAAAAGUUCCUGCAAGAAAUUGAUUCUGUGUUGAAGAGUAUAGGCAGCUACUCAGUGAAGUGAAAGAGAGAGAGAAUCUGCUCUAGUUUCAAUCUCAUUUUUUUCUCCUUGGUCCAUGUGGAAAGAUUUAUGUGCAUAAAUUUGUUGAGAACCAGGAUGGCAGUUUCCAUCUAGGAAGCCUCAAAUGCCAGGGCCCUUUUCCAACUUCAUUCAUGUUGCAAGUUUUUGGUAUAUCCAUGUUCCUUCCCAGAAAUAAGUGAGUUAUAGCAUCAAAGAGGUACCACUUCUACUAACCAUGCAUAGCACAACCUUCCCCCUGCAGUGACUGGGCAGCAGAGAGAACCAAACACUAGUACUGCACAGUGCCCCCUUGUCCUGCUCACUUGCUAGUCGUCUUCUUGCUCAGUGGCAAAACCUAUGUGCUUUUCAUGUAGAAUAUUCUACAUUCAAUCUCUGUUAAAGGAUCUUAGGCAGCAGUGCUACCACCCGAGGCUUUGAAGACCUGCUAUCAGAGGAAACAUUGCUUGGUGAAAUAGAUCAAUGAACUCUCUAAACGUAAGGCAGUUCCACAUGUCCCUUUAUUCUGUCCUCCCCACACCUGGUGUCCUCCAUGUGUUUUGUGCUAUGGCUCACGUCAGCCCCAGCCAGGAUGGCCAUUUACCUUUUGCCAGCUUUGGUUGGUGCACCAACUGCGGCUGUUCCUGGACUAGGUAGAGUCUGGCCAUAGUGAUCCACGCAUUGGUAACUGCGAGGCUCAACUGCUGCCAUGCAAUCUGUGUAGGGCUGCCUUGGAAGCUGGUCUGGAAGCUGCAGGUGGGGCACAAUGCAGUAGCAUGGCAGUGUGGGGCAGCCUAUAGGAAA
Zootoca vivipara (common lizard) is the source of this 44584-nucleotide long non-coding RNA. RefSeq lists it as uncharacterized. The record is from RefSeq and is a predicted model, not a curated record. NCBI's taxonomy places the organism in Eukaryota, Metazoa, Chordata, Lepidosauria, Squamata, Lacertidae.